RNAcentral lists this long non-coding RNA (51389 nucleotides) under Physcomitrium patens. RNAcentral's name for it is "long non-coding RNA (PPAT_LNC011639)". Lineage: Eukaryota; Viridiplantae; Streptophyta; Bryopsida; Funariales; Funariaceae. The record is from RNAcentral.
CAGUGCAUGCGUGCAUGGGAAAGGGGGACGACGAGGGAGGGAGGAGGAACCUGUGCGGCGAGGAUACGAGACUUCGAUUGCUGCUGUUGUUGUUGAUGUUGUUGUUGUGUUGGUGAUGGUGGUGGUCUUGUGUGUGUAUGUGAAUGAAUGAGAUGGAGCGUGGGGGAACUAAUUGACUGAUCUGUUUGCAAUUUGCAAUUUGGAAAGCUGGGUGAUGAUCAUCCACCCGCGCUGCAGCAGCAGCAAGCCGGAGGGACGGACCCCGAGCGAGACCAUGUGAUUGUGUUUAUGAUUCGCGGACCGCGGAAUUGCAGAGCGACGGGGAGAGUGGGAGAGUGGGGAGUGGGGAACUAAUCUGCUGCUGCUGCUGCUGCUGCAUGUGGAACAGAUCUGAUUUCUCGAGACUCGAAAGUACGGGUGCCCUGCAGAGCGGGGCUUUGCAAUGGAGGGGGGGGGGGGGGGGGAGAUGAUGUUGCUGAAGGUGGAGUCAAUUUUGAAGCAGGGGAGGGGACAAGCGGGGGAUGUGUGUGUGUCUUGAGUGGGAGAAUGAGAGCGAGAGAAAGACGGAAAGAGAGAGAGAGUGGCGGUGAAUGGGGUUAAGGACUCAAAAAUAAUAGUGACCCACAAUGCGACUUAUUUUUUCAAUUUAUUGAUAUUUUAUUGUUUUUGAAUACAUAUUUUUCUGUUUUUUAAGGGUUUUUAAAAGAGUUUUUUUUUUUUUUUUUUUUGUGAAGGGUUGGGAGGAGGAGGGGGGGGGAGGGGGGUGGGUUUUGGUCCCUUACUCACCUGGGCUUGCUGCUGUACAGAAUUGGUGGUGCCUGCGAGGGAGGGAGGUUCUGGGGUGCUCUGGGUUAGCACGUGUGGAGCGUAGUGUUGAGUGUCAGGCAGCUUCCCUUGCUCAGUAGUACUUGCUUGCUUGCAUACUAACUUACAGCUGCCUCACCCAUGCCUCCCUGCUUCAUCUCCCUCCUCCUGAGGCAGCUUGCAGGUUGGCAAUGCACGCCCCCCGAGGUGCCGCAGAAGAAGCACGCUGUUUUAACCUUCGCAGGCUGCCUGGGGACAGAGAAGGUUACAGUAGUUGCUGAGAGGCGCCUGCUGCUGCCGGAUGGGGGCGGGACGCGUGGUGCCGGAGAAGGAAACAAGCACAGAGACGUAACACCAGCAGGUGGGUUUCUUGUUGCAUGCCAUAACUCUAACCCAUUCUCAGGAUAUUUAUUUGUUUCCGUCUAGUUUUUUAUUCUUCACUGCCGCAUUGCCGUCUUGUCGGCGUUUGUAACUCCUUACAACAGUAUGACUGUUGUCCAGUACUACACAGAGCGACGUAACCAGGCACACACAGAGCGUGAAAGAGAGCGAUUGAAGAUUAUUUAUUUAUUUAUUUUUGAAACAUUAAGAUUUCGUCUAGGAUAUGAUAGCUCUAUGGCCAGUUGCGGUACAGUCAAGGGUUGUGCUCUCUCAAGUCGGGACUAUUUUUGAACAGAUUUGCCUUUCGGGGUUCAACCAUGAUCAGACAGAAUACCUAGUUGAAGGUGUUUGCUUGUUCUUGGAUUGUCACCUUUGAGGGAAUAAGUGACGUACCUUCCUCAGCGGUACUAGUCAUAGCUAUUCAUUCCUUUACCGAGAUACAAGUUUGAGGUGUGAGAAAAAGCAGGAUCGGAGAAGAAGAUAGAGUGGCGAUUUUGGUUUUGAAGAGGUAGACGGUUUGAGUGUGACAGUUUCGGGUGAAGGAUCAAGGGCCUAAGGAGCAUUGUUCUUUUAAAGUUUGCUUGAUGUGUAUGUGGGUCAUUUGCAAACUGUCUCUGUCUGCCUUUCUUGCAGGAAAAUUCUCUCAUAUGGGCUAAUGUUGGAACAGACAUGCACAUGCAUUCAUAAUCGUACAUGUGCUCUGAUUUUUGAGGCAGAAAAGCGAGGAGGAGGACUAAUCGGCCGGCCGCUUUCUAGAAGGUUGGUUGUGCUGCAUUGUUCAGCAUGGCAUCUUAUUGAGGAUGAGAGCACGGUGGUAUGCGAGGUGAUGGCGCUUUUGCACCAAUUAGGAAGGAUUUUAGUGGGCUGAUUAGGUUUGAAUCCGUAGUGCUUUGGCGAGAACAAGAGGAAUCCGAGGUGCGGUAACCGGAAGAGCUUGACGCGCUGGCGGGUUUAGGGGGAUAGAAUGGGGUGCUUAUGGUCCAAGGACUUCGAGGCCUCUGCGUUGCCUCCAGUUAUUUCAGAAGUAGAGCACGCGAAUUCAGGUAUUUUCCAUCCAACUUUUUACUCUUAUUGUUCUUGAACCCUCGUAAUGUCUGUCACGUGAUAUCAUCACAUCUAGCAGUUUUAUCAGCAAAUAUCACAUGUUCUACUGAUGAAUAUUCUGGAUUAGCGCCUGGUUAUUCGAGAUGAAUGAAAUCUCAUUUUUCAAAGCUCUUGUUGGCACCCCUCUUUCACGUGGUGUACAUGCUGCUUAGUGAAGUGGACUCGCACGCUUAAGAAGUCGCAAUGCGAUAGUAUGAUACAUGCAUUAUAUUGUUGACAUUUGACAAAGUUUCACUAGAUGAAAUAUUUGCUUGAUUAUUUAUUCAUAGAAGAUCUUUAAAAUUCAAAAUUUAAAACUCAAAAGUUCAAAUACAUCAUACGAAGGGAAAAAAUGUCAGCAUAAGUUGAAUUCAAGGUGUAGCAAGCUAAAAACUAAAUUUUGCCCGGAGACUUGAGAUCUGACAUACUCAUGGCACUGUAGGUGCUGAGAAUGGACGACGGGUUGAGCCGGAAGCAGUUCCAGCGUUUAGAGAAUUCUCUUUGGAGUCAUUGAGAGUGGCCACAAAUUCCUUUAGCAGUGAUCAGAUAGUUUCAGAAAGUGGAGAGAAAGCACCCAAUUUUGUGUACAAAGGCAGGUUGGAUCAGAACCAUUGGAUUGCCAUCAAACGCUUUCCCAAGGCAGCCUGGCCCGAUGCCAAGGGUUUCAUGGUAUAGUCUUUCUCCUUGACAAUCACAAUGAAUUUAGUUGUUGCUUCUGAGAUUUUUUAUCGGUGCGAUUGUUCUAGCCUGUGUUGGAUUGCUUUACCGUUAAUGGAACACAUGGUUAAGCUCUCAUCUUUUAGCAAGCCUUUCACACUAUUGUAGAUAAUGAGAAGUAUUUUAGAUACCUGCAUGCACAAACCCCCUUACAUUGUGUAGUUUUUGAAGGUUUUGUGGAUUGCCAUCUCCUUCGGUGUUGCCAUGUAUGAAUUCUUGUAGAUGUGGAUUAUUUGUUUGAAUCAUGCGGAAGGAGGGUUUACAGGAUGAGGCAUGGAAGGUGGGUCAAGUCCGACACCAGAGACUGGUGAAUUUGAUUGGAUACUGCUGUGAAGGUGAUGAGCGUUUGCUUGUUGCGGAGUAUAUGCCGAAUGACACUCUUGCGAAACAUUUGUUUCACUGUAAGUGUCAUAUUUGUCGUGUGGAAGCCUUCAUUACAGAGGCAAUUCAUUUUCUUCGAGAGGUGGUUUGUAACCUAACUUUUCUGUGAGAAAUGUGUUGCGCAAACCUUCACAGGUCAUUUAAUCUGGUAUGAGGUGCUUUCAGUCUUUUCUGUCGGACUUUGAAGUUUUUUGGUUUAACGUGUUCACCUUCUGCAAAUAUACUGAAGACUUGGAUUGUCAACAAUUACAGAUGAAAAGCAGCCUAUGCAAUGGGCAAUGCGGUUGCGAGUUGCUUUGUAUAUUGCACAGGCUUUAGAUCACUGUGCCAACAGCAAUCUACGUUUGUAUCAUGACCUUAAUGCCUACCGGGUUCUAUUUGAUCAGGUAUUUUCCAAUUCAGGCUCAACAAUGACCUAAAUCAUGUCAUCUAUAUCACUAUCAGCAAUCCGUUUGUAUUACGGAGUUCAGAGAAUAUAUUCAUUUAGUAAAUCUUCUUUCGAUUCGUGUGGGUUUCCUUUGGAAAUAGUUCUACUUAGUACGUGGAUUUCAACUGCAGUUAAUAGAAUGCUCAGUAUAUUAACGAUUCUCUACGAUUUUGUAGGACGGAGACCCACGUCUCUCCUGUUUUGGGCUCAUGAAGAACAGCAGAGAUGGAAAAAGCUACAGCACCAAUUUGGCUUACACUCCUCCUGAGUACUUGAGAACAGGUUAACAACUUUUUGGGCAUCUUCUGGGAAGAGCUUGUGAGGGAAUGGUGGGUUAGCUAUAUUUUUGUCUUCGUAAGAUCGAUGUUCACUGCCUAAGUCAAUCGGUCGAGGAACCCUGGAACUCCCGUGAUUCUGUUUGGUCAGUGACGGUCAUUUUUCGAUAUUUUGCAGGAAGGGUAACUCCUGAAAGUGUCAUUUACAGCUACGGAACUGUUUUACUAGAUUUGUUGAGUGGGAAGCACAUACCUCCCAGCCAUGUAAGAAAACUCCAACUUACUUUCUUAUCUGCUGGGUUUUUAGUACUUAAUGAAUUAAGCAUAGAUAUUGAAACCUGGACAUACUAUUCCACGUAAGAAUUUUCUUACUCUUGCUGAAAUGAUUUUCUUACUUUCAGCCGAUUUGCAAAAGUGAGUGUGUAAACUGGUUAUUAUCGUGUAAUGCAGGCAUUGGACUUGAUUCGUGUCAAGAACAUGUUGCUGCUCAUGGACUCAUCUUUUGAAGGACAAUUCUCAAAUGAUGAUGGCACAGAGUUGGUCAGACUCGCAUCUCGAUGUUUGCAGUUCGAGCCGCGAGAGCGCCCGAAUGCAAAGAUGCUUGUCAGUGCACUAACUCCUCUGCAGCGUCGAACAGAGGUAAGCUCACUACUGGUCUCAUUGCACUCUGACCUUGGACCUCUGAGUAAUUUAUUUUUGAACUGGAAUUUAGGUGUUUUCUGCUUUGAACGAAUUUAUGGAAACUACUGAUGUACCCUAUGCAGCAAAUCCCCUCGUACACGCUGAUGGGGAUCCAAAGAGGAGUUCAUCAGCCUUCUCCGCCCCUCCCGCUGUCACCCUUGGGCGAGGCGAUAUCUCGAAAUGAUCUCACAGCGGUGCAUGAAAUUCUCGUGAAAACUGGCUACAAGGACGAUGAAGGCGCCGAGAAUGAGGUUCUUCAGUUCAAUUAUUUUGGUGCAAUUGCAUACUAUCCUUGAAGACAUCUUCUCGAGUAGAAACACUCACGUAGUUCAUUCGAAGUCCAUAUCAUUGCUUAUCCUCUGUAGUUGUGAGAAAGAAACUGAUAUCCUCCUGUUGUGUAUGCUGUGCAAUUCAUGUUGCAGCUCUCUUUCCAGGUGUGGACAAAGCAGAUGCAAGACAUGCUGAAUUCCAGGAAGAAGGGCGACAUGGCAUUCCGUGACAAGGAUUUCAAGACGGCUAUCGAUUGUUACACGCAGGUACGUUCUUUCUGGAAUUCUCUAGAAUAUAGAACCUAGAUCAACUUGUCCAGAACUAAUCUAUUCAUUGUCGUUGGUGGUCUUUCUGUCAUGGUUUUGGUGAUGAUUUGGGGUUGUUUCAGUUUGUAGAUGUAGGCACCAUGACUUCGCCAACAGUGUUCGCUCGUCGAAGCUUAGCUUACUUGCUGAGCGAACAAGCUGAAGCAGCCUUACGUGAUGCUAUGCAAGCCCAGUAUGUACAUCCUGAAUGGCCAACCGCGUUUUACAUGCAAGCGGCAGCCCUCGGCAAGCUCGGAAUGGAGACUGAUGCUAGUGACAUGCUUAAAGAAGGCACUGCGCUUGACUUGAAGAAACAGAACAAUUACUCUCGUUGAAGCGGCGAAUCUUUUAAUUCCCUCCUCAUUGAAGCUUUUCUCAUUCCUGAUGCCAUUAAGCAUGUUCGGCGAUUGUGAUUGAUUUUACCGCAACGAGGAGGGACCUGCGAUUACGCUUUGCACUCAGAAGCAUGAGUAGAUUUCUAAGUAGAAUCAGGGUGCCAAAAUUAGCCUUCCAUUUUGGUUGAGAGGCACAAGUAGUGUAAAUCAAUCAUCGCAGCUAAGGACAUGGGGGACGUUGAGGUGUAAAUUUAAUUGGGAUGCUAGUUAAUGAUUCGCUCUGUCCUCUUCAUGCCUCUUCAUCCCGAAUAAGCUCUUCUUGUGUCAAUGCAGCACACGGUUCUCUUUUUCGUUGUUUCAAGGACCAUGGAGGUUGUGGGCUUGCAUGCACCUUCGGCUGAUACUUAGCUCGUUCAUUGGAACUGUCUGAGUUUGUUGGGUUCUGCCGAAUAGUAUGCCAUUUGCACAUAUCAUCUUGUGCUAGUUGUGUUGCAGCGAAAACAGUCAAAAGCUUGAUCCCGUAAACACCCACAGGGACUCUAAACAACCCAUCUAGCCCACAAUCCUCAAACCAAAGCAUUCUAACUAAUUCUCUCUACUUCCACAUAAACAAGCGAUCUAGUCGAGUCCAAGUUGAAAUUACAGUAAUCUACAAAUUACAGUAACUUUAUCCACCAUAACCCCAAGGUCAUCAAAAUCAACCAGAACACCCGCGCGCAGUGAAACUGAAUGGAAAUAAGUUAGGUCUCAACAGUAAGGGUGUAAAAGCUCCUGAAUGGCUCCGUUUGGGGGCUUGGAAGUAGCGCCGCUGCGACUCACUCGGUACCCGACAACAAAAUAGCCAAAAUACAUGACAAACUCUUUAGGGAUUCUGAAAGAAAACUAGAAAAAUGGUUAUUGAUACCAGAGGCGAGUCUCGAAGUAUGGAAAGGAGAUAUCGGGGAGCCAUGUGGCCAGUUUUCGAGCACAAAAAAGUAUAAUACUGAUAAGCUGCGAUGGUGUAGGAAUCUGGUCCACGUAGAUUUGGGAGGGUGAGAGCCAAUGCAGAGGCAGGAAGGGGGUGUGGACUUUGGAUGGAAAAGAUGAGUGGAAGGGCUAAGGAAAAAGAUUGGAGUAAGCAGUUGAGGUGUGGCCAUGGCGCAAACCCGGAUUCUAAUCACACCAUGGCGCUCUCUGCGGCUGCACAGCUUGCCAAUUUUGUCCCCAACUCCGUGUUGCAGAGCAUCAGCAAUUCUCGUCACUUGAGCGGCUCACCCUCAUGGGCUCACAUACUCGUCAGACGCUUCACGCACAUGUCCUUGGAAGGUAUGCUAUUCAGAUUUAUGCCAUCGUUUUGUUUUGAAUGGCAAUCAGAGUGGUCAUCUCUUGAUCAUAGUUGGAAUGUGGAUGAGGAGAGUGGAUCGAAUUGCGUGAAGGGUACUCUCUCUCUCUCUCUCUCUCUCUCUCUCUCGCUCGCUCUCUCUCUUAUGGGUUCUCAGUUGGGUUUCGAAUUCGGCUUAGGAAGUCAUGUGAAGAGGAGGCAUCGGUGAUUAGCGUUUUGCGGAGGUGGGAUUUCUAACAGCCACCAACGGGGCAUAAAAUUUUCUCUGCUUUCUGUCAAUGGUUUGAAAUACCUAAGAGCUGUUUCGUUGGCGUCGGCGUAUUGCCGUGGAGAUGCAGAUAAAGUGUAGAAAUAAGCUCGAUUGGAAUGAAUCUGGACCUGAAUUUUAAAUUCGAGUUGGGAUUUGAUAACUUAAAGUGAACCUCGAAAACUAGCUUCUAUACCCGCUUUUUUCUUCUUUCUUUCGCUUCCUUCUCUGGGGAUGUUUCUGAUUUUGAACGAGGGUUAUUUGAUGACUUAAAAGCACGUACAAGAAGCUAUAGCAGUUGGGGAUUUUUCUAAGGGGUGAUAAUUGCACAUGCAAAGUCAUCUGCUAAGUAGUGCCCAGUUCUAUCCCCGUUAGAUUCUCAGUACAUCUGCUCAUGUUCUGUUUGAGCGAAUCCGGUAGGUGAGGCAAAAUGGGGGCUACAUCCCAUAUGGACACAGGAUCUGUGAGUUUUAGAGUACGAAUCUCUAGGGCUCUCUCCUUUAAGCUUCCAUUUGCUUUCGUGAUGUAAGAUGAGGUUUUGCUGUCUUUCCAAUGUGCAAUUCACGUUUCCAAAAUCAUUGACAUAUUCACUUCUUUUGGUAACGACAAUAUGCGAAGAGGGUGGAGAUCAAAUGGAGCCUGGUGUUUAGCUUCAGACACUAGGGCAUAUUUCUUUGUUCGAUCACACGAUGUCAGAUUGGAACACUCAUAGGAGAUUCGGUCAUGGUUGUCCUCCGCUUUCUUGAACGAAUUUCAUAGUUUUCAAUGGGAUUUUUCUUUUGAGAAACCCCGUCCUUCUAAACAAUGCGCACGCUUGCCAAAUUUCUUUGUUACUGAUUCAGUAUCUCGAAAAUUUCUGUAAAUCCCAUCACGAAUUUUUGAAAUUUGAAACUUGAAUCUGCAGAUAAUUCAGAUGGUUAUCACCAAUACUUUGUCGUUAGCACUAGAGUACAUUGUAAAUGCUGUCUGGCUAAUGCAGGUUUCCAAGAAAAGUCCAGAAAAGGAUACCAACAUGGUCCUCUUCUCGGCAGUUCGUCAAGGAGGUUGAGCAAUGUCACAGUUGCCGCUGAGCGGUCCCCGAUUAAUGGUUUUCACGAAUCACCGAGGCCGAUUGGUACGAGGUAUUCUUGCACAGCCUUGCCAGUUUGAGGAGUUUUAUGUUACUCAUUGAAGGAUUUAUUUUAAGCAUGUUCUGAUUUAAGCCCUAGUCAUUUGUCCUGAUGCACAUAGUUCUGUCAAUCAUUUUGUCUACCAUUGAAAUACCCAGCGAACAUGUUGUCAUCUUCAUGAAGAAGAGCCGGGAUUCAUAGCUUGUUAAUGUUGUCUGAGUGGUGGGCACAUAGAUGGGCCACGCAGGAAGGUUGUGGAGCAUGUUGUUUUGCUUCAGAUGGAGGAGGACAUGACCGAUGAACAGGAGAAGGACAUGUUGGACCAUCUUUACUCUCUUCAAUACCACUAUAGAGGCAUAUUGGCUGUUUCUCUAGGUGCGCCUGUGUGCCUGUUGUUGCAUUUGAACAUCAAGCUAAUCUUUAUCAACAAACUUCUUAUUAUAGGAACUCUGAAAGUUUUGUUUGUAUCUUUCAGGUCGGGUUGUUGAAAGGAUGCCAGAAGGAGUAACCCACGCUUUCUUUCAACGUUUCCCAUCUUUCGAAGCGCUGGAGCAGUAUAUGGACCACCCAGCUCGUCUCCAAGUGGCUGAGAAGUACAUCAAUCCGUAUUGCAAGGUAGAAUUCCUUCGCCAUUUCUCUUGGGCCAGGCUCGUUUUAUCUGAAGUUAAAUCAACAACCUUCUAAUUUGAUUAGACUUGCAGGGACGCAUAGUGGCAGACUUUGAAGCAGAGGUUGAAGAUGAUCUCGAACCACUCUUCAGGCGAGGUGAGGUAAGUUGCAUUCUGACUCCUCUGCCCGAAUAUUCGCUUGAACGCCCUACAACUAUGAGGACUGAUCUUGUAUGUUGCGAAGUAUGAGGUUGAUUGAAGUAUAGUGCGUGAACUUCUGAGCCAUUUCUCAAGCUUGACUACGAAGUUUUUUAUACGGUGCUGCAAAAUUCUACGGUUUAGUUUUAAGGGGGCUUGAUUUUUCGCCAGCAGUUUAUUACAAAUUUUCCCCUCAGGAUAGUCUGGUCAGUUUCUCCGCCCGUCUUAGUGAUCAUUUAGUUUCUUAGAAUCUUCUCCCAAGUGUUCAUUUAGAUUGAGUGGAGAAUCACAGGAUGAAGUUGGUCUGGCAGAGGUUUCAACAAGGAAUAGAGCAUGUGGUUUUGAUAAAAGUAAGAGAAGGAGCAAUACUUGACGGAACUGAAGGGAUGAUUGAGGCUUUCAAUGCACUGCCACAACAAAUCGGUCCAUCAGUCAUCGUUCAACUAACCGCAGGUUAGAUCGAUGCAUGGAAAUCGUCUUUUUAAUCAUUUUGCUCUUUUAUCAUUUGGUAAUUUAAGGAGUUGGUUGGGUCUCUUACCUCUUUUUUUAGAUUAAAAUUCUUUUGUCUAAUUGCGCUCUUGAUGCACUUAGUAUGUUUGUGUCUCGAGCUUGUAUCCAAGCAAGGCCUUAGUUACAAAUUCCGAUGUCUUUGAGUCAGGUACCAACCUAUCUGAUCGCAAUAAAGGUUACACACACGGAGUUCUUGUGCGGGUACCAUCAGGUCAGCGUUACGAACUUUUUAGUUUCAUGUUGUGUCUGGGCGCAUUUCUCUCUCACGUCAACGUUUAUGUGAAGAAUUCAAGUGGUAUCACUGUCAAAAGUAAAGAAAGUCUUUUGAUCUUUUAGUUGUAAUCCACUCUAAUUGUAAUGUGAUUAAAGCUUUGAGAUAGCGCGUAUUCCACGAUUAUUUUAUUAACGUCAUCCACUGAACUGCAGAAGAGGCCUUGACCACAUUCAGCAAACAUCCUGCUUAUGUCAGAGUAAGUGAAGAGUGUGGAGUCAACCUUUCAGUGACGUCUUCUGUAUUGUUUUAUGCACAGGAUAACAAGGUUUUGCUUUACAAGCUUCAGCAUUGGAAUCACGAUAUGUGCAUUGACUUCGACUGUUUCAACGGUUGACGCAGGUUUUUACUGAGAAAGUUCUUCCUAUCAGUUCAGGGCUAUUAUCAGCAGAUUUUUUGGUAGAUCCUGUGACCAAAUCAUCCCCCCUUUGAACGUGAGAUUUUGGAGUUAACAUCAUCUUUCAUAUGUGAAGCACAACCUCAGUUUCCUGUCAGCUUUCCGUGAUAUGGUAAUCUUUGUUCCUGGAAGUUCCUAAUGAAGCUUAUCAAGUAGUGCAGAAAGCUUGUAUUGAGUUGUAGAAAUGCGUCUAUCCAUUCAUCUCCUGUCACUUCACGAAGGGCAAUAACCUCUGUUGGGAAGCUCUUCAGUGGCCAUUGUACCCAAUUCCUUCGAAGAUGUGAAGAAAUAUUCCCAUCGUGUCUCACUUCCUGUUUAGUCAUCCAGGCGUUGCGUGCAUCUGCUUUAUUUGCAACCUGAAUGCAAAAAAAAUUAUCGCAAAUCAACAGGGAAGUUAAAAUGUGUUUCCAUGUUCGGAUUCAUGUGGACUUUGUAAAGAUAUUUCAUUCAUUCGGUGUUCUUCAGAAUAGCAGUCAAUCCAGGGACAAGUUAUUUCAUUCUCUUUUUCUGUUCAUUGUUUGGGCAUAUUGAUGAUUAUGUUUUAAUGCAUGACAAAUAUUCUAGUCUACAAGUUCUCAAGGUCUGCCAUACAGACAACAUCAACAACACUGCACACUGCAAAUUGGGCAAAAUACUCAUUAAAACAUAGUUUAUUAUUGAUGAAUGACCAACCUUAUGAUUAACUUGGUAUUCGUUAGGUGACUUGUAUAUAGAUUUGGGGUUUUAUUCCAUCUCACGGACACACUGAAUUGGUUUAAGUAUUACACUUGCUUUGAAAGACAAUUGGAUCAGAACGUAUUGAAGCACUUCUAUGAAGGCAAUAUAUAUAUAUAUAUAUAUUUAUAUUUAUAUAUUUGAUUAGUUCAAAUCCCACAUAUGAUUUUUGACUGACAUAAAAUUAAAAAUUAAAACCCGACAGAUUCUAUCCAAGACAUCCUCAUCCUUCCGAUCAAACCCGACCGGAAUCGACGGCCGCCAAUAAACCAUAUCUCCCGGGAAGUGACGAGGCAGCGCCUAAUCCUGCCAACUGUCAUCCAACUGUACAACCAACCCUAUCUCGCCACGCGUACGAGUCCGCUGCCACCUGGACGACUAGAUUGUUUAGAUUGUCGACCAAAUUUCGGCGUCAGGGAUCGGACGACGCAAGAGAGGCCACGUGGAUCCCAAGAAUCCAAAGGGUGAGAUUCGACGCGCGUCAGGGUGGUAAUAAGUAAGCCCCACCUUUAACUAACUCAUCAGUCUCCGCAAUUUGUUACCGAAUUUUAAGCUUUUUGUUUGCAUUCUGGCUCAUCUCGUCGGGUCAUCCCUUUUUGCAGGUGCUGACUGAUCAGAGUUUCCUGUGUGUUUUUUUCACGAGUUUUUCCAUUUAGUAUGUCGGUUUUUGGGUCAGAAUCAGAUGCAUGGGAAAGUGUGUAUUUGUGUGUGUGUGUGUUUUUGUUUUUAUAAACGAUGUUUGAGAUGUUAAAGGUGCGUGUGGACAUAUAGUGUGCAUAGUUGGCGCUGAUUUUGUGACGGAGUUUCUGACGAAAUCCUAUUUUGGGUGGGUGGGUGAGUUGCAGAAGAUCCCCAGGUUGUUAGAAUUCCGGGUGUUGAAUGGCGAGGACGAAGAAGACUGCAGGAGGUCGCAAGCAGAAGCAUGCUACAACUGGGGUGGCCAAGAAUAAGGUGAGCCCUGCAGUGAAGUUCACUGACAUGAGGGCGAAUGCGGGACAGAAGUUGAGCAUCGCGGGUGCCAAAAUGUCCGAGAAGAUGACGCACUUCCGUGCGAAUGUCAUGCUCAAGCUGUACCGGUUGCAGCACCCGACUCACCCUGUCAAAAGAGUGGCUGCCAAAGAGAGCAUCCUGAAUAUGAAGGCGGCUGCUACAGGUCAGUUUGCAACACCCUCGAUGCUGUUGGAUCCAGUUUGUGUGCUCGUUCCGUUCCAGGUUGUUAGCUUCCUUUUGAAUAUGUCUCUGCGCAGGGCGUCGUGGUUUCAAGUUUCUAGACAUGAUUUGAUAGAUCUUUCGCUAGGUUUGUUGAUGGCUCUCCAUCUCCUUUUUAGGACAUGUCAGGGAUGCAGAUUGUUGAUUUGUGAGCGCUUUGUGUGAUUAUGCAGAGAGGAGAAGGCAAAAAGUGGCCAGAGCUAUUGACGUUGCCGCUAGAAAGCGUGCGCAAGCACGUGAACGACGCGCUGUUGCUAUGGCUCGGCAUACAUAGAAGUUGAAUGUAUUUGCUUCAUCUGCAUAGUGUAACCAUUUGUAUAUAGACAGAGUCUUGUGGGGUGAAUUGGAGGUUUCAUGAGGUUAGGAUUUUCAAUAAGCAGAGAAACUCUAUCGGGUUUUACUUGUAGAACGAGGAUUGUAAUAUUAUCUCAAAGUGCAAAUUGUUUUAACGUCUGGAAUCUACUUCACGUCGGCCUCCAGAACAUGUUGCUGGUCAUACCCAGUCUCAGUUUUUGGCUACUCUCCAAGUUGAACUACUAAACAAGAAAUUCUGCAUGAGUUGUAUUUAUCAGGCCGUCUGCAAAUUAGCUAAUAUCUACAAUGACGUUUUAGUCCAGAAGAGUUGUCACAAGCUGCUAGACACAUAUGAGCAGUAACACAUGAAUCAAUAACCCCCCUCGUUGGUUUAUGCCCGCCGAUGUCGAUAAUCUGUCUUUUACCAUCAGUUCCAAAACCAGUACCAAUCAGUACCUUUUCCGUCGGCGUGUCUUUUUUCGAGUCAUGAUCCUGAAUUCCCUCCCUCGUCCGUCUGACGCGUUGCGAGGUCUCUCUAACAAGUGCAUCAAUUUCAUGUCCAAUCUCCUUGGAGACAACUUCCUCUUUUUUGCCACCAUUCCUUCCAGACCUGCUAGCGAGAUAAGUUGGUCCGUACUGGACCUAAAAGAAGCUGGCCCCUGUGAAGCAACUUCUAUGGGGGUCUUCCAUUCUGAUGGACCUCCUGCCUCCUCCGAAAUUUUGGAUUGCUUACUCUUCUCUAGGCUUGUAUCAGGCUUGCCAGUGAACUCUGAAGAUCUUACUUCUGCUUCUGUCGCUAAUUCAGUAUGAUUGGGCUCUUCUUGGGAAUUUUUUGGUGAGGUGGGACUCAUGCGAUUCUUGUACUCCCGAACUCGUCUUUUAAUCUCUUUGUCAAGAUCUUCGCAAUCGCGCAUACGGUGUCCAUGCUGUCUGCACCAGUUGCAUGGCGGUAAGCAGUACUGUAUUCGGGAACUAGAGCGAGGAUCCAAUUUCCUUGAUGUUAUUUUCCUGGCUGGUAUAAUGUUCUUCUUUUCUUUCUUAAGUAUUGUUAUCGGCUGCAAUUCUCCGCUCUGCACCUCAACCAGCUGCUGUGAGAUCUGUUUCAAAGAGUGGAGCAGUUGCUGGCUGUCGACAUUUUGGACCGCUGCGUCAAAGUUUUCAGAAAGUGAGUUGAUCGUUUCCUCAAAUCCAUGCAAUCUGCGUUCAAUCGCUUCUCCAAUGCCCACAAGCUGUUGAAAUAUAUCUUGGACGACACGGUAACUCUCUUCCACCAGCGGUCCCUCCAUCCGGAUAUCUGCCAGCUUGUUCUUGAGCAGCAGCAACCUUGCUUCGUUUUUUGAUUGGUACAAUGCUCUGAGACACUCCCAGAAUGUCUUUGAUCCGUCGAUACCUGCAACAGAAUGCAGCAUUUCAUGCUUCACUAGAAGCCUUCAUACUCCAACCAUUCGAAGCAAAAGAUAGAAAGAAAAAUAAAAAAAGGAAAAGCAGACCUACUUAAGUUGUUCGUAGUCAGAAAGUUGCACCAGAUAAAGCACCUAAUUCGUAACCUACCGAGAAAUUGGGCUGUAACCUAAUAUGCAACACUCUAGGAUCCGUGAAUAAUGAUUUCGGCAUUGAAAUUUCUUUAAGGAGCUUCCCGCGGAAACCUCACAACCAACUCAGUGCUACGAACUGUAAGAAUCUUUCAACUAGUCUUGGGUCCCUGAGUGGCAAUUGAUGUCACACCAUUACCGGGUGUUCCACUGGAGUAAUUUAUUCCGAAAAGACACCGGCUCACCGCCAGCGGUUGCUCGAUGGAGUUCCGUGCCGAUCUCGGAAGGGAGCUCGUAUCUUUCAUGGGUCUCUUGCUCUUCACUGACCGAAUAGCAGCAUGCUUACUACGAACUGAACAAAUUUUGAUCCAUUUCUUGAUCUUUCGGAGCUCGCAGAAUCCAUGGUUGGUCGGAGAACGUACAGCUACACGGGUGUCAUUGGAGCAGAGAUCCCUCGGUAGAACUCGUGGAGAAACCUCCUUAGCAUCCUUAGAAAUUAUCAGUGCGUUUCCAGUAACUUCUCCAGACUCUAUACUCGGAGUCUCAGUUAAUUCUAGAAUUCCUGUGUUUUCAACACCUUCUGCAGCGACUUCUGAACUUAGUUCCGGCACAGUGAGACCACUGUCAAGAUUUAGACGCUUGGUCUUAGGAGGGGAUGACUCCCGACUCGCAAGCAGCCUCUUCGUUUGGCGAAUGUAUAUUUGACGAGGAUCUUCGCCUUUUCCAGAACGAACCCAUCUGCACAAAAAUAUUGGCAUUUUCUUCAGCGGUAGAGUAAAAUAUGUUUGAUACUUGAGCAAUCUUGAGCAUAACAUUUCCUUCAGAUUCAAACAUUACUCUUUAUCAGACUUACAUUUCCCAGAGUCGUUUUGCCUUAGCGGCAAAAAAGUUUAUUUCUUGAACACACUAAGCUUCCCAGGCAACCACAUAAUUCAUGAUCAGUUACUAAAUUUUUCUACUAAUUGAGCAACAGCCCGCAAUCACGCGUUAACAUUAACAGUAUACAAAAGCAAAAUAGAUUUUCUAUCAUGUUUAGUUUUCUUGUAUAUCCUCAUAGAUUAUCACACAAUAGAACUCUAAUAUUACCUCUGACCACGGCUGAACCUCUAGGUCGAGUUCAAGGUAUCGCCAGCAGACGAAGUUUUUAGAUUUUAAAUUAUGCUCGACCUGCCAGUCACAUUUCCUUAUUCAAAAAAGGUGAAUCAGAUAAGAGAGGAGUUAGUCAAACAAAGGGGCUCCCUGGUCCGAUCUGGAUGAAAACAAACUUGGCACCUGCCAUUUACAAACAUGUGGAACAAGACUUAAAGAACCAAGAGAUUCUUUGCUAGUAGUCAAUUGUCCUUAAUUCUCCAGUAAAAUCAACUCAAAAAUGGGGAGAACUACACACCGGAAGGCCAAGUCGAAUCUUCUCCACCACAUGGCCCUGCUCCUCGUACGCGGUUUUGUAGUUGUUAACAACACCGGCCAUGCUGGAGCGAUUGAACAAUCAUUUGAAAUCAGGCACGCUAAAAAGAUUUGUAACUCUUUAGUCUCUUUGAUUUGAUAUGUGACUGUGUUUCAGAGCUUAGAAUUCUCAUGAAUUUCGGAUUACCCGUGUAGCAAUCGAAGCUUUUGAAAACUAGAGUUGAUCAUCUGUGCAUUCACCUGUUGAAUUCCAGGUCUAUACUCCCGAAUUCAGGCCAGCGGCUUAUACCAAAUGCACCGUAUUUGCUAAAAUAUUGCACCAGCAACACUAUGUGUUGAUAUACCUGCUCCAGGUCCAAUAUGUUUGAAUUAACUUAACUGUACCAUUCUUCGAUGGAUUUGAGCUCAUAGAGCACAAUCAGAUGGUCACAACCACAAGCUCACGAGUAUCGUAAAUUUUGGAAUUCCCUACCCAGCUGCAUCUGACAAUUUGAUGUCUAUUCUGUUCUAAUAAGCAUUUGACGAAGGACUAGGCACCCUGGUGGAUACCUCUCAUUCUAUGAUCGAGUGGAAUCAUGCAGUCUUUCAAUUACGGCUGCAUAACCCAUACUCAACUGAGAGAGACUACCUGACCAUCCAACACGGUCUGGAAGCUCAAGGGAAAACGCUCCACAUCGGGCAGGCCAGCCUACAACAGAGAAGUUUCAUGGAAGACGUCAUAACCAUAUAUCAGGCAUUUGAGGCAGUUAUUUAAUAGACAUUGAAAUAACAAGACACAAAAGACAAUGGUGCGAGUCACUUAGAGGGAUAUUGUGCUCUCAUGUCUCAAGGAAAAGAAGCGUACCGUCAGGAAAAGUGCAACAAAUACAGCUUCCACGCACUUGAUGGGCUGUGGUGCAUUGACAAUCUGCUUCCCAAAAGGUUAGUUUUGGGAAAACGUUGUAUUCGAACCAGACUAAAGGUUCUUGAAUAAACGUAGACAUGUCACGAGAAAGAACAGGUUGAGGCAGUUUUUCAGGAAGCUCCUCAUACUGCUUCAUGUCGAUGCAGAAAACGGGAAAAGAAAUCUAAAUAUCCGUGAAAUUGAGUGGUCUAAGCAGCAUAAUGAUCUAAUUAACAUACAGUUUCCAAGGCUAGAGUUCAGUGAUAGGUACCGUUUUCGCUGUCUCCGUUAUCUGUAGAAGAGGUCGUUGCUUCUGUGAAUUAAAGUUCGUUUGAAGCUUGAGCCAGUAUUCGAAAGACGCAAGGUACUGCGCAAAAUUUGCAGCAUCAGCCGAUCGCAACGGCAUGCAAGCUUCAAGGUCAUGAGCUUCGCCAAAAUGUUUCAUUCCUUGGAUAAAUAGGCAUCAAGGUUUAUUUUUGCAAGGAUAUGGCGCAUCGGAAAAUCAAAGUGGCCAAAAGAUAGAUUGAUCACCUGCUUCACAGCCUUCAGACGUGGUUUCGUCUUAAGCCUAUUGAAUAUUACAGGCAAUCUUGGUCGAGUGGAUGGUGGUUUGGCCACUGAAACUUGGGCUUCUGGCUCCUCCGAUGCUGUCACUGUUUCAUGUAUGCCCACUUCAUCUACAAGGAGAGGAAACGCCUCCUUCAACAUUGUGCAAUGCAAACGAAGCUCUCGGCUUACAAGGUAAUGGUAGUCAAUGCAGGGGUUUUGCACCAAUCAUCAUCCACUUCGGAAUACCAACAAAACAUCGCAGAUUACUCAAUGACGACAUGAAUACGAACACUCAACCCCCUACCAGCUUGAAAUCGUGCAUGAAACCUCGACGUAGCACUGCACAGAUUAUGCCAUCCAUGUAAACCCUAAACAGUGAAGGAAUCAACGGAUUCACACGGCUCCCUACCAUCUCAAGAAUCACCACCUCGGUAGCAAAGCAAAUGCAUGGAUCUGACAAAGGGUGAAUCUGACUUCUCCUUCAUCGACCUAUGUGUAGACUAGGUCCCUGCCAAGUUUUUUAUGCUAAAGAAGGAAGCAAUAUACCCCCCUGCCUCUUCAUAACUUCAUUCAAGAGACUCAUACACACUACACGGGUGUAACAAGUUCAAAGUUAGUGACCUAACUACCCCGCUUGUGCAAAAUCAUGCCAUGUCUACUUCCCUCAACAGAAGUCUUGUUCCUCCUUGUUAUCGUCAGGAGUUGUACGCUUAACCACGCUUCGACGUUGUGAUACGAAUAGGGAGAACAAAAGGGGCGUUACCACCCGCGUCGGAAUUUCACAUUGACAUUUAACAAUCUCAUUAAACAAGACAAAUUCCAUUGAAGGCAGAGCAAGCAUUCUGGAUGCAGGAGAAUUGCGAAUUGACGAUGAGUCGCCGAAAAAUGUUUGCACUAAGUGCGGCAAUUUGGAAAUCCUCUCAUGACUCCGAAGAGCGAGAGAAACACUACCGGCCAAGUGGAGCUUAUCACACCAUGCUAGUUGCAUUGCAAGUAGCUGAUUUCAAAGCAGAACGGAAGCAAUGCAACUAGUUUACUACAUCUUGCAAUUAGCUAUCCAAUGUUUCAUUUUAAAAAAUAACCACAAAAUCAUUAAAGAACUCGUACAACGUGGUACUGUAACAUAUGCAAUCCAAAAGAGGUCAUGUGUUUCUUUCUAUAUUUUAAAAUUUCACCACUAUUUUUUGUAUCUAAAACCUUGAUCUUGCAUUCACAUUGUAUUUUUGUAAGUGCCUUAAACUCCUUAAAAUACUCUUUUUUAGCUUUGAAGGUGAAGAUCUAGAAUAAUAAAAAUCUUACAAUCAAAUUGAUCACUCCUUUAAUUUAAUUUGCAACAAUAUUAUACAAAAAAAAAAACAAAAACAAAAACAAACAUUCAAGAUUAAUAAAUAGAAUUUUAAAAGUAACAAAGGUAAUUUAAAAUCUUUCUAUCAAUUCAUAAAUAAAGGAGUAAAGACAUCUACAAAGCAAUGUUAGAAAACUAAAGAUCAAAAUUAGUAUCUAUAUAUGUUAAUAAAAAAAUAUUAGCUCCUAUAAAUCCUAAUAUUAGCAAAAAUUAAAGAAGAUAUAUUUCAUACAAGUGUAACAACAAUAAUAUGAAUUCAAGUUACUUGAAUUUACAACAAAGUAUUUGUGGAUCCAUAGUUUAUUGAAAAAUUAUAAUAAGAAGGAUUCAAGAAGUAAGAUUCAUUAAAUUUGCACAUAAGAGAAGUGCAAAGAUAAAUGCUUUUUACUUUUCCAACUUAUUACUCAUAGGUAUUAAAUACUUCAUAAGAUUUCUUUCAAUUUUUCCUCUUGUGAUUUCAUCUAUUACAUUUAUCAUUUGGCAUAGGAUCCUACCUACAAUAAUAUGAUUCUAUCAUAUCACAAUAAGAUCCUCUACUAUUAUACUAAGAUCUUAUUCUAUACUUUAAAUCUAUCUACUUUAUUUUUUUUAAUCUUUGUCUUUUAUCACAAGCAAGUUACUAUAGUAAAGGCUAUUUUCUUCUAAUUACUUCAAUACAUUGCACAUUAUGAUUUGAAGCCUGACAAUAUUUUACUAAAUGUUGUUGAAAAGAAAAUCAUGAAUAAGACUAUUAGACAUGUUAUUGUAAAAGUGAUUGAUUUUGAAAUAUCUAAGAAUGAAGUUAGUAGAAAUCCAAAAUCAACAAAAAUUAAUUAUUAUAUGGUAGUAUACCUUACAUGGAUUAUAAGAUAAUAAAAAAUAAACUAUUAAAUAAUAAAAAUAGAUAGAAUAAGUAAGUCAAUAAUAACAAAGCGACAUUGAAUUAUGUGAAGUACAUAUAUAAUGCCUCAUGCUUUCUUAAGUGUGUUCAAAGUAGUGGUGAUUAUUACAAAAUAUCUUACCACAUUUUAGAAUAAUUUAAAAUUCAAAUAAAGUCAAAGAACUUAAAAGAAGCUUAAAAAAUGUUGAAAUCAUUCUUAUCCAAGAAUAAAGUAAUAUUUAUCUUUGAUAAUAUGAAGAACCAAAAGAAAAUCAAACAAUUAUAUAUAUAUAGAUGAUUUUUUUUUUUAUAUAAGUGGUAAUAAAAUUAUUAUUACAACACAAGAUUGAAAAAUUAUAGAAUAUUAUAUUCUUAAAAUAUGUAAAGUAGAUUUUAUAAAAUAAAGCAACUUUGACUUACAUUUUAGGAUUUUGACUUUUUUAUAGAAUUUUUUUAAUACCUUCUAUAAAGCUUCGAGGAAGCUUUUCUAGAAGGUAUUAUGAAACUAAUUUACUUUUAUUUACUUUUACUUACUUCUAAGUAAUCACAUAUGUAUUUAUUAGAAUGAAUAUGUAUAUCCGUGACAUUACCCUCCUUUCUAAGGACAAGUUCCACAAGGAGUAAUUAUCAUGUAUUAAUGAAAUCCAAGAUGCGGCAAAUUGUAUUUGUCACAUACUCUGAUCUUUGUUUUCUUCAAAGAUAGUUGAUAGGUCCUCUCAGCCAUCGAUAGUGUUCUAUACCAGGGCAAGAAGACCACCUUAUUGUUUAAUUGUUGUUGAGGCUUUUGUAACUUCUUUCAAAUAAAACAUUUAAAAUAUCUUUUGAAAUUAUUUUCAUCUCUAAUAAGAUUACCAAACAUCGAGAGUCUCUUCUAAAGUUGUGAUAUCAAACACAUUAUAUCUUGCCAUCUAUUUGAAAAAAGACAUGUCAUUCAUAAGGAUUUUCAUCUUAAUUAUGUCAUCUUAAAGGUUAUGACAAUCACAAUGUCUUGUGUGAUAAGUUAGCAAGUGAAAGCUUUUGAGUUGAAUCUAUUGAUUGUUAGUUUUUCAUCUCUCUAGCAUCAAAAAUAUAUAGAAAUUACAAAGAAUGAUAGAAGGUAGAAUGUUAUUUUCUUUAGAUCUUAUUUCUUUUAUAGCAAAGAUUUGAUAUUCUUUAUCUUAGUUUGGAUAGAUGUUAUUAAUGAAAAGCCUCAAUUCUCUUUCUUGCAUUUACAAGAUUCAUUUUUGGCUCCCUUGUGCAUUCAUUAAUAUCAUAUCCGCACUAAUAAACAAGAUAUUCCAAUAUGUUUUUGGUGCCACCUUGAAUUUAAGUCUUCUUCCACCUCAAAUUCUUCAUUAUUAUCCACUUCUACAGGAAGAAGUGGUAUUUGUCUUUUGUUGAAGAUAUACACUAUCUUAUAUGGCUCAAAACGAGAUAUGUGAAAUAUGGGAUAGAUCUUCAUAGACUUUGGUAGAUGUAAUUGAUAAGCAACAAGAUUGACUUAUUAACAAAUAGGAAAAGAUCCAAGCCUAUAAUUAUCCAAUUUGUUACAAGGAUGAGUAAUCUUGAUAUUGCGACAAAGUAACCAUACCUUAUCACCUACAUUGAAUUGCGGUUGUUCGUUGUGAUAGGCAUCUAUAUUAAUCUUUGUUGUUCUUGAGCUUUCUUUAAUUGUACCUUUAUUGUUGCAUGUAGCUUUCACAAACAAUUUGCCAAAUCUUUUGCUAUAGGAUUAUCAACUUUUAAAAAGUUAAAAGUAUCAAAUCAUGGAUAAUAACCAUAAUUAGCAAAGAAAGGUGUUUAUAGAAUAGAAGAGUGUAUCAAAUUAUUGUAUGAAAACUUUGCCAAUAGUAAAAGAGUUGUUUAAUCAUCUUAAUGAUAAUUGAUGGUAUACCUAAAGUACUGCUCCAAAAUUUGAUUCACCCAUUUCGUUUGCCCAUCAAUUUGAGAAUAAAAAGCCAAAGAGAGCUUUAUAUCUAUUUUUAAAAUCUUAAAAAAGAUUUUCUAAAAUCUUAGUAUAAAUUGAGUCCUCCUAUCUAAUAUAAUAUCUUUAAAAAAUUUGUAAUAGCAAUAGAUGUUAAAAAAAAACUUAGCCAUUUUUUCACCUAUGAUAAUUUUUGUACAUAGUACAAAAUAUGACAUCUUGAUAAAAUAAUCAACUACCAUGAAUAUAAAAUCAUACAAACCUGAAAGUGGAAGAUUUGUGAUAAAAUCCAUAGAAAUAAAAGACCAUGGUUGUUCUAGAAUACGUAAUGGCAAAAGAAGUCUAUAAGGUCCAUGACGAGGAGUUUUGAAUCUUGAACAAAUAUCACAUGAUUGUACAAAGUCUUUGGCUGCUUUUUACAUUUGAGGCCACCAAAAUUUUUUUGAUAUUAGCUUUGAAGUCUUAUUGUAUCCAAAAUAUCUAACUGUGAGAAAGGCGUCAACAGUUUGAAGAAUAUGUAAUUGUAUCCCAUCUUUUGGAAUGUAUAAUUGUCUCUCAAAAUAAAGUAGAUUAUUUUUGAAUUUGAAUUUAGAAGUAUCAUGAGUCUUAAAAGAAUUAUUCUUGAUAUCAUGGAUAAGAGGAUCAAAGGACAUACUUGAUUGAAUUUACUCGAUAAAGGUUGAAUCAACAAUCAAUGUUGAUUUUAUUGCUCAAAGAUAAAAAUGCUCAUGCUUCAAGAGAAUUAUUUUUUUUUGAUUAAAAGAUGAAUCUUCUUCUUUUAGUGCAAGAUAAAAACGUCUAAAAAAGGUAUUUGAUAUAUAUAUAUAUAUAUUUUUUUUAUCAAUAAGUAAUUUUGAAAUCAAAUCUUGAUAAAGGCAUGCUCCAACAAGUUUGAUGACAAUUCAAAACACGAGCCAACUUGAAAUAUUUGAGGUUCUUCUGAUUUGUAUAUACGAUGACUACAUUCAAGGUGCCUUCUAAAAAAUGAUGCCAUUCUUGAAAUGAAUCCAUGAUUGUAAAAAGCUCUUUGUUGUAGAUCUCAUAAUUAAUCUUGAUUGUUGAAAUUUUUCCGGAAUAAAAAGCUACUAGAUGCAAUUUAUCAUCUGCUUCCAUUUGUGAUAAUACUCUACCUAAGGCAAAUUCUGAUGCAUUUGUUUCUAUAAAAAAAUACCUAAAAAAUGUCAACAUGAUACAAGAUUGGUACAAAAAUAAAUUCCUUUUUUAAAGUAUCAAACGAUGCUUUGGCUUCUUUAUUCCACUUAAGUUUGUUUUUACAAGUCAAACAUAUAAGUAGAGUUGCAACUUGAAAAAAAUUCUUGAUGAAGAUCCAAUAGUAAUUGUCAAAGCCCAAAAAAAAUUGUACAUUUCUUACUAUUCUUGGAGCCUUUCAAUUUAUAAUAGUCUAUACCUUCUUUGGAUCUAUCAUUAGUUCUUUGUUGGAAAUAAUGUAUCCUAAAAAGUCAACUUGAGUAGUAUAGAAUACACACUUUUUUAAUUUGGCACAUAAUAUUGUAUCUUUAAGUUUUUGUAAUAUACAACAAAUAUAAACUUCAUGUUCUUUUAUAUUUAUAGAGUAGAUUAAGAUGUUUUCAAAAUAAAAAAAUGACAAAAUCAUUAAGAAACUUACAAAAACAUCAUUCAUUAGAUGUUGAAAAAGUAGCUAGUAUAAUUGUGAGUCCAAAAGGCAUGACAUUAUAUUCAAAAUGUCCAUACUUGGUUCGCAACGUAGUUUUCCAUUCACCUCUUUUUUUGAUGCGUACCAAAUUAUAUACUCCUUCUAGAUCUAUUUUUGUAUAAAUCUUUACUUAAUCUAGUUGAUCAAGAAUGCUUAAAACCAAAGGUAGAUGAUACCUAUUUUUAAUAGUGAUCUAGUUGAAUCCUCAAUAGUCCAAAAACAUCCAUAGAAAUUCAUCUUUUUUCUUCAUAAAUAAAAUAAGAGCUUUGGCUUGAGAUUUAGAAUGACAAAUGAAAAUUUUGGCCAAGUUCUCAUCAAUAUACUCAUUCAAAGCAAGCAUCUCAUUUUGUGAUAGGCUAUAGAUUGGUCUAAAUGGUGGUUGAGCUCCUUCGUAAAGAUCGAUGGAACAAUUAUAAAGAUAAUGCUUUGAAAGAAUAUCUAUAUUCUUAUUUUUAAAAAUAUCUUAGAAAUAUUGAUAGUAGCUAGAAAUAUUACUUGAUGCCUUCUCACUAUUAAAAAUAGGCAUGGCAUAUAUAGCAAACGAUAACUCUUUUUUUGCAAUAUGCAUAAAAGCUCUUGCACCUAUUAGUAAGGAUUUGGAUGUAUUAAACUUAUAUAUUUCUACUUGAUUAACAAGAUUUUAGAUUAAAUUAUCAAAAAAAUUAAGAUUAUAAAAAAUCAAAUCUAUUUGAAGAUUGUACUUUUCUAAUCAAGAUAAUUCUAAAAUAAUCGGAUUGGAUGGAGAUCUUAUUAUAUUAAAUAUUACUAUGCUAUUAUGAUCUUUAAUUGCUACAUCCAAAGAAACAGUCUCAUGCGUAAUAUCUCUAGAAGAUAGCAAAUGACCAUCUAUGACUUCUAAAUAUAUAAUUUUAAUUUUUUUGAUUAACAAUAACUCUUUUUUUUUGACAAAAUCUUCAUCUAUAAAAUAAGUUGAGGUUGUUGAAUCUAACAAAGCUAAAACUUUGUGAUUUUUUGAUCCUAAAUAAAUUUCUAUUGUAAAAUAAGAUGAAGGGUGUGAAAAAAGAAUAGAACCUUUACUAGGAUUUACGUAAGAUUUGAGCCACAUGGUCUCUAUUAUAGUUGGAGAAAUUUAUUUUUUGACACAUCAUCCUCUUUGACAACCAUGCUUCUCAUUUUGUGGUUAUAUUGUUUUUUUGGACAAUGUUGAGUACUGUAUUUAGUUUCUUCACAAUAUAAGCAUAAGUCCUCUUGACGUCAUCAAGUCUUUUCCUGCUCUAUGAGGGAUUUAAAAUAUACCAUAUCAAUUUGCAUUAAUUUUGGCCUUGAUGAAUGAUUUUUUGAAAACUUACAACUUGCCGUUAUUAUUUGAUUUGUUCUUCUUCAGCCAAAUCUUUGUUCUUGAUGUCUUUUAAAUAAUCAAUCAUUGUAUAUAAUGGCUUGAGCAAUAAAUUAUUCUAAAGAUUCUAACUUUGGCAUUGUUAGUAUCAAAUCUUUGAUAUUAUUCUUCAAUCCAUAUCAAAAUUGAUUGAUAAGAGCUUUGUCAAUCCAGUCCAUGUUGUAAGUGAGGUUUUGGAAUUUAAUAGUAUAUAUGGUGGAUGAUUACAAGCCUUGCUAUAAAGAUAAGCAUUUGAUCUUUGCUACUCUUUCUUGAUCACUUUUUCUGAGUGUGGCCAUAAACACUUCUAAGAAUGAAUUUAAAUCAUAUAGGAAUUGUAUUAAAGGUGAAAAUCAAGAGAAAGCACUUUUUGAUAGAAGUGUGCCUAUAAAUUUGACUUGAAUAAAUCCAUUGGGAUAGUGGAAGGGAUGCAAUCUUAGAUAGAGCUUGAUUUGUUGUAAAAAAUCUCAAAAUUUUGUUCUUGUUCCAUCAAAAUUCUCAGGCAUACUAAUCCUUAUUCCUAUCAUAUUUGUAGAAAAAAAACUCCUUGGAUUUGGUUAUAAGGUCAAUCUUCUUGCUUGCUUCAACUAUAAAUUUUUUUGACAUAGACUUUGAACUUCUUCCAUAGGCAUAGGAAGAAUAUCUCCAUGAUUCACGUUGAAAAUAUAUGAGAUUUUUACUCUUAGAAUGUUGGUAAGCUCAUGAAGAUCUAUAAUAGUUGCAAAUUUAUUUUCUUAACUAUUAAGAAUAGUAUCUAUAAUUUUUCCUUCUAUAGACAACUCAAAAAAAUUCAAGAUGUUAAAUUAGAAGAAGAUAUUUCAUAACCUUUAAUAUCAAAUGAAAUUUUUUAUAAAGAAGGAUAAUCCACUUUCUUUAAGGAAAAUAUCAAUGUUAAAAAAUAAGAUUUUCUAUUUAAAAGUGGAUAAUUUAUAACCUUCAAAAUAUAAUAAUAGAAGUAGGAUAAUCCACCCACUUUUAAAAUAAGACAAAAAUAAUAACUUAGCACUGUUAUUAAACUAUUAGAGACAUAAAUCUCAAAGAAAGAAAUUCUUCAAUACACUCUUUUGUCAUUAAAAAGAAUUAGAAGUCACUCAAAGAUGAUAUAAUAUUGAACUAGAAUGGCUAUUGCCAAAAAUAAGAAGACUAGAAAGUCUUGAAAUAAGACUAAGGACUAAAAAGAAGGCUUUACUCUUGCCUCCAAAUGUACUCUUAACUAAGAGCUACAUAGCAAUGUCCUAUAGGACCUCCAAAAUAUGUUGACUUUGCAAGACAUGUAUCUUAACUUAUAAAACAAGUUUUCUAUAUGUAUGCUACAUAGUUAACUUAUUAUACAAGCUACCAAUACGUGGUUAACUUAUUGACCAAAUUUCUAACCUAUCAAUCAAUUACAAACAUAUGUAAAGUCAAAUUAACAUCUAUGAAGCUUCUAAGAAACUUCUUUAGAAUUUUUUAUGAAAUUAAUCUAUUUUUAUCAACUUUUAUUUACUUCUAUCUAAUCAUAUAUAUAUUUAUUAGAAUAUCUAUAUAUAUAUAUAUAUACAUAUAUAUAUAUAUAUUCAUGAUACUAUAGAUAAGUUUAAAUUUAAAAUAUAAAAUUCAUAAAUUGUCAUAUGAUAACAUGACUAUUAGAUAAAAGAAAAAAAAAAUUAUAUUAUAAAAGAAAUUAAAUGUAAUAAUUCAAAAAAUUAUCUUAAAAGUAUAGAUAAUAGAUAAAGAGGUAAUAAAAAUUAAUAAAUAAUAAUGUUGCCUUCUUAAAGAAGAGACUUUAUUUACUUUGUAAGAGCAUAAGUGAUCCAAAUUAAAAUAAAUAAAAUAAAUAAUUAAUAAAAGCAUUUUAAAGAAGAGAUUAAAAAUAUGUUAUAGCAAAAAUCACCUCAAAAUAUGAAGAAUUGAUAUUUAAAGAAGACCAAUUGUGAACUAAGGUUGAAAUCAGACCUUGAGGUACAAAAUUACAUUCUUACAACAAUUCCAAGGCACUUUGGUUGAUCAGAGAGCAAGAUUUAAGACCAAACUUGUGAGAGGAUUUUUAAAAGUUUAUUUUGUGUGAAUUAAAGAUAUAUGGAGUUUUUGAAGGCUCUUUAAAAUAAGAAAUUUAUUCAAUAGAUUUAAAUUUUGAUAAAUAAAAAGAAAUUUAUAAAUUUGAAGAUUUUUUGAAUAUUAUAAUAUACUUAUAAGUGAAAUUUUUUCAAUUUAUAAUUGUGUUUGCUUUAAAUUAUUUUAAAUUUUUUGAUGUUUAUUUAAUAAUUAGAUUGGUAGUUAUGAGAUUUUUGUGGAUUAUGGUAUCAAAUAAUUGAAAUUUAGGAUCAAUAAGGAUUUUUUUGAUCUUUCAAAAUUUACCAAUUUGAUUAAAGCACAAAUUGGUGAGAGCAAUUUAGACUUAGAAAUCUACACACCAACCAAUUUUUGGAGCAUUUUACCAUUUCAGCAAAGAAAAAAGGUUGUUGGAAGGUUAACAUUCAAGCUAGAAAACGAAAGCAACCAACAUCCAAGAGGUUAUGGAAGCAUUUCAUUACAAUUUUUGAGUUUGAUUCUUUCCAAAUUUUGUAUUCUUGUUAAUUGCUUGUAAAUUGAAAUAUGAGUGAAAUUUUAGUUAAGCUCAAAAUUUUCAUUAAUGUUUAUUGAGAUUUUAAAAUAGCUUUGAAAAAUGAUUAUGAUUUACUUUAGAUUUGUUUAGGAUUUGUUUAGGAUUUGAUUAGGAUUUUAUUAGAAUUUGAUUAGGAUUUUAUUAGAAUUUGGUUUAAGAUUUGAUAUAGGAUUUAGGAUUUUAUUAGGAUUUCUCUAGGAAUUGAUUUAGAAUUUAGAAUUUUAUUAGUAUUUGGUUUAAAAUUUAGAAUUUGAUUAAGAUUUGAUAUAGGAUUUAUUUAAAAUUUAGUUAUAAUUUAAUUAAGUUUUUGUUAGAAUUUAUUUAGAAUUGCAUUAGGAUUUGAUUAGGGCUAAAUCAAGAUUUGAUCAAGAUUUAGUAAAGUUUUAUUUAAGAUUUAUUUAUGAUUUAUAUUUUUAAUAUUUCUUUAAUAUUUUUUGUUUUUUUAAAAAAAAAAUUUUAAUAAUAUUUUUAUAAAAUUAUUGUUAUUUUUAAGGAUUUUAUUUUGUAUUUAUUUAUUAUUUUUUUUCUUCUAAGAUUUCUUUAUUAUUUUUUUACAUUAAUUUAUGACUUUUUAUGCUUUUCUUAUGAUUUCUUUUAAAUUUCUUUUGGCUUGAUUAAAAUUUAAUUAUGGUUAUUAAGGAUUAUUUAGAAUUUAAUUAAAAUUCUAUUAGACUUAGUAGGAUCUUGUUGUUGUAUUUUUUAUUUAUCUUCCAUAGCUAGGUGUUUGGUGCAUUUUCAAGUAAGAAUUCAUGUUAUACAACAAUGCUAAAAAGAUCAAGGUAAAAAUCAAUAAUAAAAUUUUAUUCUAUUAUAUUUAUUAUUGCUCAUAUAAGAAAAAAAACUCUUCUCUCUAUCUUGAAGAAAAUUUCUAACAAAAAAAUUAGCUCACAUAGAUGCAAAUUUUUAUAGAAUUCUACUUUGCAAUAUUUAGGUAGUAGAGAUGAGCUAUUAUCAAGAAUAUUCAUUAUAAACAACUAAAAGUUUAAUACAUUCUUUUUUUAUUAGAAAAUAAUAGAAAAUUAUUCAAAGAUAAUAUAAUAUUAAAUCUAGAAUAGCUAUUGCCAAAGAUAAGAAGACUAGAGGCUCUUAAAACAAAACUAAGAACAAGAAAGGCAUUGAUAAGAGUGAAAAAGAAUUCACUCUUACCUCCAUAUAUACUAUCUAAUUAGGAGCUAAGUGAUGUUGUUCUAUAAGAUCUAGGACAUAUAUCAAACUUAUAAGACAUGUAUCUAAAUUAAAAAACAAGUUUUAUACAUAUACACUACAUGGCCAACUUGUAUUACAAAUUUUCAACAUGUGCAACAUGCGACUAACUUCUUGAAAAAGUUUCUAACCUACCAAUUAAUUAUAAAUAUAUUUAAAUUUAAAUCUAUAUUUAUGAAGUUUUUAAGAAGCUACUCCAUAAUAUAUUAUCAAAUCUAUCUAUAUAUAUUAAUUAACUAUCACUUCUUAUCAAGAUAAUUAUGUAUGUCCAUAACAAGUAUGGAGGGGUGACUAUUGAGAUAAAGGUACACAACCAUGAUGUACCUCUCAUUCUUUUUGAUUAUCCUAGUCCAUGGAUUCUAUCUUUUGAUAAUGUUGCUACCAUCAAAUAUGUAAACAAAAGAAGGGCUACUUUUAGAACAAUUUUAUUUACCAUUUUCUAACAAAAUAAAUCUUUAGAAGUUGUUAUUUGAAAUAUAUACAAUGCCAAAAAAUUAUUGCAUGCAAUUAAUCUCUAAGUUUGUACCCUAUUGGAAGCAUUGUUAGAUAAACCACAAACAAAUAAUGUUUGUCAUGCUUUCAAAUGUGAUAUUUUUGGCCACUUUAUACAUCUAUUUUUUACUUUAAAGAACUUUGUAACACUUAUAAAAGAUUUUUUUUUUUUUUUUUUAUAGUUUUGCUACUAGAUUUUACAAAUAAAACCAAUUGAUAAUUUUUUUGUGUUUAUGUGUAUUUUAUGUCUUUUUCUUCAUACUUAUUUGUAAAUGGUAUCUCAAUUGCUUCAUCCUAUUGUUUCUACUUUAAUAGAAAAAAAUAUAAUAAAUAUGUUAAUUUAUGUAUCCCUCUUAUGAAGUCUAGGAUUUGAGGUCAAAUGUUUUUUUAAGAAAAUAAGACUCUAUUUAGCUAAUUGAUGUAAUAGUUAAUGAACUUUUUUAUAGUUGUAUAUUCACUUUCAACAUGUCUUACUUACAUAUUAUUAAUUCUACUACCACAACAUGUCAUUUUUUCUUAGUUUUUUUUUCAUACAAGGCAAAACAUAUAUAGAUUACUUAUGGUCUUUAAAACAUAUUUGGAAUAUCUUUAGAGAUAGAAAGACACCAUGGAUGAUAGUCACAAACCACUAACUAGAGUCAAUAGAAACUUUGAUCUUACAUUAGACUUGCUUUGUUUAUACAUAGACAAGAAAGGUGAUGUCUUUUGAAUAUUUUAUUACCAAUUAUAUUGAAAAAAAUUACUUGGCUAUAAAAGAAUGAAUUAUGGUAUCAACUAACAACUCAAAGAACAUUUACAACAAAAUAAUCUUAUUUGAAGAAAGUCAAGAUUGUGUUAUAUGUCAUGGAAAUAUAUGCAAAUCAAGCAAAAUUUUAUUCUUGUAUUCCAAUUCUUUUCAACACCUUAUUAUCUAAAAAAAAUCUCCUAUUAUGCCUUACAUAAGAUUCUUAAUGAAUUAAAAAAAAAAAAAAAAAAAAAAAAAAAUCACAUAGUAGAUGAUUAUAUAAUCUUGAAUUGUAUUGGUUUCUUAUAAAUAAGUAAAAGAUCUUUCAUGUUCCUAAAAAUUGAAGAGAUUGUUGAAUGCUACUAAAUUUCUUCUUUUCAAUCUUUUUUAUCAAUAUUAUUGCUUAAAAUCAACGUCUUCCUAUUAAGAAAUAUCAAAUAAUUUAAGCUUAAAAAAGAUUUUGUUACAAAUUAUACCUUGUUAUGAAGAACUCUUAUAACAUAAAUAAUGGUUUUUGGAGCAAUUGGUUCAAAUCCUUUUAUGAAUAGAACAAGGUAUAAUAAAUUUGCAUAUUACACAAAUAAGAAGACAUCUUGGCAAUAUGGCUUAUCUUCUCUCUUCAAGCAUUUCAAAAGAACUUAUUGCAUUUGAAUUUGUGGAGAAGAGGAAAAGAUAGCACUAUACAAAAUGUAGAGAAAUUGGACACAAUAAGCACAAUUGUCCACAAUUUUUUUCAGGAAAGGUAUCCACAUUAUUAAAAAAAACAAGUGACUACAUAAAAAAAGAGUCUUUUGUAAUAAAAACAAGGUGUUUACAAAAUAAAGGAGAGAUGUCCUUCUAAAAAUUUUUGUAUUAAAUUAUCUUAUAUAGAAUAAAUAAUCAAUUCUUUUCAAAAACAACAUAAGACAAUAUUAUUACAUAUUUUUUCUAACAACAUUUGAGAUUUAAUUUACGAUAUUUAUAAAAAAAUACAAUAAAACAUCAUUAUAUAUUGAAUAAAUAAAAAUUUAUAAUAACAUAAUAUUUCAAAUAUAGUAAAUGACACUAAUAUAACAAUAAUUAACAAAGUAUUCUUACUAUUGUUUUUAUAUUCAAAUAUUAUUAAAUAUAUUCAUGUGCUUUCUUAACCAAUAAAUUAAAGACUUUCUACACAAAUUUUGGUAUUUUGAAUAAUAAAUAAAACUAAAAUUAUAUCCACAUUUUGUCUAAAAUAAAAUCUUAAAAUUUAUCAUUAGAACUUAUCUUGCUACACAUUGUAUUUCAAAAAAAAAAUCUAUUCUAAUAAAUCACAGCGCAUUAAACAAAAAGACAUACAUUGUAUAGCUUUUGAACGAAAUUUGUACAAAAAUUUAUGCAGUAUUGCAAGAAUCUUUAAUCUGGCCAAAAACUCAAAUUCUUUAAAUAAGAUGCUUAUCUAAGAUUUGUUGUAUGUUUAAACACCAAUUUGUCUAAACAACCAUCCGCUUCACAGUAACACAUUUUUUUGUCACGAAAUGAACAAUAUCGAUAUUAAAACAUCAAUGUAGAACAAAAUUAGAAGUGAAACAUAAACAAUAAAAAACAUGUUCUUCUUCCUACUGCAAUGCUAGGUAGCAAGUAUAUUUCAUAACUAUGUUAUAUUCAUGACAUUAACGUAUCCACCCAUAGCGCUUAAUGAAAAUGAUCCAAUCUAAUCAAUCAAGGCCGAGCACUACAUUCUCUGGUCCUCAACUCUGCUCACAAGUAACCAGCAGGAAAUUGAGUUCUUACAAGAUAUAUUCCAUCAUCUUCCAUUUCUACGAUGCCAACACUACAAAACCAGCCCACUGCAGAAAUAUGUUUUAUCCAAUUUUCAUCUACUUAUACGAGCUCAGAACUUCUGGAUCUCUGAGACUGAAAACCUCUGCAGACAUGCAAAUAUUCAAGCCCAACGCAAGUUGAAAACAAUACACAUCAUCUGUCCACCGUUGUGAACUUACCUGUUAAGCUCAAGACAAAGCAUCACCGACUUCCUGAAUGAACGUUGCUUUCCUCGAAGCAGUUGAUGCACUCCCUUCGAUCUGGUUGAUCAAUCUGUAAAGACUACACCAUACACAGACAAUGCAAAGGCAAUACUAGAUUUUAUGUGUUUUGAUCAGAGAGCUAUCUAUCCUACAGACACAAAUCCACAACGACACGAGUUCCGCACCAUGUCAAAAACACAAAAGGUGGCUGAUCAAUCGUUGAUGCGAUCCGCCGAAAAACUGGAACCGUGUGGUGAAUUCGAAGUUCGAAGAUCAGUUAGUUAUAUUGCCCAUACUGUGGCAUGUACUGCUGAGCGUAAGGGGCCGGAGCUGCACCCUGUUGUUGUUGAGAAUAUGGAUAUGCUCCCCCAUAGCUCAUAGCAGCAAGAGCUCUCGCCUCAUGACCUGGAGCUGCUGCUGGUACACCAUAUGAGCCUUGUCCAUACUGCUCUGCGCCAUACAUGGGAUUGUUGUAGGCUUCAUAUCCAGCUUGUCCUGGAAAGGCUUCAUAUGCAGCAAAUUGUGUGCCAUACUGUGCACCAUAUUGUGUUUGAGCUCCAUAUGCCAGCGGUUGGGGUGGCACUGCAACGGGAGCCAUCGCUCCAGGAGACAUUCCUGGAGGAGGUACUGGCCAUGGAGGAGUUGCUGGCGAAGGAGGUGAAGGGGGUGCUGACGAAGCUGAAGGCGAAGGGGAUGCUGCAGGUGUUGCAAAAGCCUCAGAUUUGUCCUCUUUCUUGCCUUUGUCCGCUUUCUUGCCUUUCUCAGCGUCGCCAUAGCUUUCUUCUCCCUCCUCAUCGUUUCGUUCCUCUUUCGCUUCCUUCGCACCAGUCUUGUCGUGAUUUGCAGCUUCCUCUGCGAGCUUUUUAUCUUGAAUUGCUUCCAACAUAACCUGUUUUUUAGCUUUCUUUGCAUCUAACUUGGCUUGCUUCUUCGUUUCCUUGGCCCUUCUGGCAUCACCUUCGGGAUCGGCCAUGCAGCCACCUUUCUUGAACAUACUUUGGAAAAGUCCUGUAGCCUUGAUACAAUGCUUGCAAGUGGACGUAAAAGACCAGCAGAAGCCGCAAGUGGGUUGCAGACAUUUCUGACCUAUUCUCCACAUUACUUUCAAAAGUUUACAUGGAAGCAUAACCAGAACAGCGAACCACAGUUUUUUGCCGUGCCUUUUUUCCAGCGAUUUGUAUCCUCUUUCCCAAGCUUUCACGUAACCCUUAUGAAACGAUUUCAAAGGACUAAUAAGCAGUUUUGCAAGAGUCGGAUAAUUACUCUCAUACUCGGCCAGCCGCCUCUGAUAACUCAACACAUCGUCGAUUUGCCCCAGGAAGAAAAGGCAAAGAAGCACUGGUAUCGAGACCACAGGAUUAGUCAAUCAAUUGGCGUGAAUUGGGCAUGGUUCAAGAUAUUUCACAUGAGCCCACCGCUCUAUCCAACUAAGGAACAAGAGGAGUCAUGUUAUACAAACUAUCAACAAUGAACACAUUACGAGCGGAUACAAUCCCUUAUUAGCUUAAGAGCUGCACCAAACAAAAUUGUUAUACUCGCUGAACAGGGUUUUGGUUAUAGUGGUUGCUGCACUCACAUCCAACCAAAACGAAAACGAAUCCGAUGUUCACCAUAACAACUUUCCAGCAACUCUUCGUCACGUAACAUCCCCAGACGGUAUCCUCCGGGCAGUCCCUGCAUUACAUGAAGCUUCAGCAUUCCAUACACAGCGAUCCCUUCUACCUCACCGUGAGGUGUUUGAUCGAGAAUUUGGCGACCUUCAAGCAUGAUAAUCUUCUUACAUACAGAAAAAAGCCAACAUGGGUACAUGAGAGAAAUGGGGGCACGUACUCGCAUUUUACCCCAAACCAUUCAGCGAUUUUUUUGCUGCUAACCAGGACAUGAAACGGAUUUCCGAAACGCCAAAUUAAUCGCCACGACGAAGAUGGUGAUGGCGCUUCAGCACCUGACCCAUCUGGCGCUGCAGGAACUCCUGAGGCUGCAGAUUCUGGCGGCGCUGAAUGCCUGUUACCCUGACAUAAUGGCAAUGAAACAAAAAAAAUUGUUGUCAAAAGUUUGAGUAUGGCUUGAAUGCAAACUGGACAUGAAUUCUUCUUGCAACACUUUGAAGCUGACCCACACGGUGUACUUGCUAUCUCCGACCUAUUUCCCAUCACCAUAACAGAAAGUGUUUGUAGCCAUUUUGACGAUGUGGGUACCAGUUCAUUACCAUGUUUACGAAUAACACACACCAUGCAUACACAACUGUGAACUCACCUCUUGUCGAAUUACUACAAACACAAACGGAGAAAUGAAAAACGAAAAGCUGCAAAUCCCAUGAGAAUUCGAAGACGCAACAAUAGCCCACAAAGCAGGAAGUGUAGCAACUUGCUCACCAUUUAGGUCACAAUCCUCCUCUAAGGUCCAUCAUACUCAGCUUCGUUUCUGCCAUGGCCAUACAAUGAAUUCACAGUUCCUGCUUGACUUGCUUGCAAUUCCAGGCAAACAGAAAAACCAGAAAAACCAGAAAAAACAAACAAGCAAACAAACAAGCAAACAAACAAACAAACAAACAAGCAAACAAACAAACAAACAAACAAACAAACACUACAAGAAAAACAGCAACAGUUAAGGAAGAAAAAAAAUUAAAAAAUUAAAAAUAAAACAAAACUAAGAGUUGUUUUCUAUGGGAUACAAGGAGCUAAUCCCACAGGUGCAACUCUCUCAUGUAAAUUGAUUGAAACCUGUUUAUUGACGCUUUUGAUUCAUUUACUGUAAAUAAAUGUGACGUAAUAUGUUAAUAGAUUUCUUUUUUCUUUUUCUCUUUUGUUGGCGUUGAACCUUGAAUGAAAAUUGUGAAAUGAUCGCCAAAUGUCUAAUAUCGAACAUAUGCUAAUAAAUGAAAUGGCUUAAGGUAAGUCCAAUCUUUUCUGUCAAUCGAUUAAAUAAAAUGAAGGAACCUUGGAAUUGUGAGCACAAAUAAUAUUUUUAUUAUUAUUAUUAUUAACAAUUUUUUUAUUUUCUUGAUAAUAAUUUUCAAUAUUAGCAAAAAAAUUAAUAUUAAAAUUUUCAAAGUUUUUUUGCAUGAAUAUAAAAUGAGUUUUGUAAUAUAUUUUUCCUAUCAUUUAUUGAUGUUGGUUAAUUUUUUAUUCUCUAAAUGUAUCAGAAUUUGUCGUAAUUUAUUAGUUAUAAAAUUCAUCACUUGAUCAAUUUGUAAUUCUGAAGCUACAGUGUAGGUUGAUAUGAAAAAUAUAUUUUAAGAAAUUAUAUGUAAUCAUUUUUUUUUGUUCAAUGUUUGAAAAUCCAAGAAAACACCAAUAUAUAUAUAUUAUAUUUUCUUCUAAUAUAUAACAACAAACAUUAAUUGAUUGUCAAAAAUAAAAUAAAAGUAAAAAAAUUAUAUUUAAAUUUCUCAUAAAUUUAAAUAGUAAAUACUAAAAUUUAAAUUAAAAUAUGUACAAAAAAUCAAGUGUUCAAUAUAUAUUUUGUAAAAUAUAAAGAAAAUUUUUAAAUUGACCUAAGCAUUUACUAAAUUAAUGUAAUGUUUGAUAUAUACUUCAAUAUAUUUUUCUUAUGGUUUUUACAUACUUAUAUUCUAAUCAUAUGUUGUAAUUUUUAAAAUGAAUUGUGAGUAGGAAAAAACAGAUUUUGUGUAUUUAAAUUACUCUUUUUAUUCUAGUUGAUUAAAAUAACUUGGUUUUUAUCUUAAAAAUUAAGAUAACAUAAAGUAAUUAAUAUUUAUAUUUAUAUUUUUGAUAUUAAAGUUAUAGAAAUUUGGCAAAGAAUAAUUUCUUAGAUAAUUUUUACUUUUUUAAGCUAAUCUUUUAGAUAAGAUUUAUUUAUUUGAUUUUUUCAAAAAAAAACAUAUUCAAAGAAUCAAAGAUUUAAAUUGGUUCUUUUUAAAACAAUCGAAGAACUAAAGAUUAUCUAAAACUUUAUCUAAAGAAUAGUAGUAGAAGGAAUCUUACUACAUCCUAGCAAACACUUUCAAUGAACAAUAUACUUUUGAAGACAUUGAAAAUUAAACCAGAACCCAAUAUUUUUAGUUAAAAAAUAAAAAGGACCAAAUUACACAAUCAAAUACGUCAGAAGUUGAUAAUUUCAAAAAGUAAUUUUGUACUUUUUUUGCUGAAUCAGGAUUAUUGAACUUCUAAAAGACAGAGAUUGGUGGAUGUCCAUAAGUUGGAGAAAAUGGAAAAAUCCUCAAAUUAACCCAGUCGCAUGUUGGAACCAAAAGAAAAUCAUUGACUGAUCCACAAGUCCUUCAUCUCAUCUUAACAACUCUUUUGUAGUGCUUUGGAAUUGUCAACUGAAGUUUUCGACAUUCUUCCAACCAGUCAAAUGUGAAGAGUGUCAUGGCUUUUCUUCAGUAUUUCAAAUUGUAGAAUUCUGUGCUCUUACGAAUCUUUGUUCACAAAACAGAGGUUCUGAGCAAAAUGGAGUCUGAUAACUAAUCAAAUUAAUAGCAGGGCCAACAAGUCCAGUAGCGAGGAGCAGGCAGUUCAAAAGCUCACCUCAAUAUUCAGGAAAAGGAAAAACCCCAGGUUACAUUCAAUGCUUGAUUAUAUCCCAAUGUCCCAGUGUCGAAAUAAUUCUACAUGUGCACAUACAGAGAAUGGAUAAAUUGUCUGAUUUACAACAAGGCCAUCGAUGGAGAAGCGCAACAAGAACUUCAUGAGGCCACAGUAAACAGAACCUAUGGCAUCAACAAGUUCCAAGUUUCAUAAACCAUCGAGAACAUGUCGAGCUUUAUUUGACAAAAAAGUGAAGCCAACUUAUUGACGGUGCAGGUCCAAUCAAACUGUCUCAAUACAUGUAUAGAAGGAUUGAUUUGGUCUAUUCCAUGAAAGAAUUUACACUUUGAUGUGAAUACUUAAAGUUGAGGUUUUAGGGCGACGGAACUAAGCAACUAGGACGAAUGAACUAAAGAGAGGAUAGAGGUUUCAAUCACUACAAGGUGCUGUUCAAGUACAGAAAUGUUCCUACAAUCCCAAGGAUACCAACAGCGAUACCAAUGGGAAGCGCUUGUCUGCACAUGGAAAACCAACAUAGACUUUGUCAAGAACCAGGAAUACAGAAAUUUACAAAAUCUUCGAAUAGUACAAAAACGAAUUGGAACAAAUUUUCAACUUAUCACACGCUCGAAUAUCUACUUACAAUGCCUAAUAUUAACGCAGGCGUGAUCUUCCAUAAUAUGGGGCUUUCACAGGAGUGACGAUAGUGCGACACCAGAAGAAAUUGACGACAAGAGAACUAAAAUAAUUUCGUUGCAGCAACCACUCGUUUAGACUCUUGAGAUAACAGAACAAAUAACUGACCCGAAUGCUGCAUUUGUCUUCUUCAAUUCCUCCUUGCGGGCCUUCCGAACAGCCAAGUCGUUGGCGUUCCUAGCCACUGGUGCAUCGUAGACCUUGAACCUUCUCUUCGGUGCAAGACAGACUUCCCCAACAAAUCAUGUUAGUCUAUGGCAAAUCUUGUUAAUCUAGUCUCUGUAAGUUGAAACAUCUAUCUGACAAUAUAAUGACGAAAUAGUUACAAUAGAUAACUCACAAUUUUAUAUUCAAAUCUACCCUGGGAAGAGUAUCUAGUGAAUUGUAUGUUGUAGGAAAUACUCUUCCGACAGGGAGACAGCCAGUUAAUUAUCCAGACACCUCUUCGACAUUAAGAGUGGCAGCAAAAUCGAUUUCUAAAAAUAACGAACAACAACACAUCAAUCUAGAUUCUGACGUAAUGUCGUCGCAUCACAAACUUGUAAAAAGGAACAUGCAACAAUCGUCCACCAAUGAAAGCAAGGCUUGAGGAUGUUUUAGACAGCGAACAUGCAAUCUGUACAGGGAGGAGGUGCUGCGAGGGUAGGCAAGUUACCGGGGCAAGAAUAGUCGGUAGGUAGCGAUGUAAAUGGCUGCUUAUCAUUGUAAAUGUACCUGUUGCAAAACCACAAUUCAGCAAAGAGCACAUGAAUACGAGCAUGACAACCCUCUAACUGAUUAGUAUGAUGAUACAGAGCUAGUAUAAUAAUUUCUGAUUAGGAUUUGCCUCCAGUGUUUGUUGACGCAAGUGCAACACUAUUAGAUGGCAUCCUGAAGGCCGUCAAGAGCCUAGUCACAAUUCUGCUACUGUAAAGGGAGAAACAAUCAAUUUCCUCAUACGUCGAGGGGAUCAUAGAAUACAAAAUGGCUCUUUCCAAAACAACGCUGCUCGUCACAAUAGGGGAGGCACUUAUCGAUUGAAUAACAGAAUUAUUUAGACCUCAGUACAGUCGAUACAGAACAAAUUAUGGCAAGCCAUAAGAGGAUUACAAGAAACAGUAAAUGAGCAAUUCCAUGUGGAUACGAGAUGCCUCGCUUCCACAACAUAAAGAUUGUUCUCAGCACUGUGCUACCCACCAUGGAAAUGAUGACAGAAUUUCUUAAACUAACACGGGAGAAGCUCGCCGCACUCUAUCUUUGCAUCCCCCCCCCCUCCACUAAACACAUUCGUCCUGUCAUCGAUUAAUAGGAUUCGUACUCCCAAUGCCUAACCCAGUUCACCAAUCUUUUAAAGGGACAAGGUCGAAGAGCCAAACAACAAGGUACCAAUCUAAUGUUCAUGCACAAGGCAGCGACGACAUACCCGCAGUCCUGGCAGAUGUAGGCAGUCUUAGCUGCAGCGCGCAUGGUAAUCCUCGGAGGCGCAGACCCAAGGCCCUCAGGUAUGAUCACGGCAGCCGAGAACGCCCUGCCUCCAUUGUUGAAGGAGCUCUUGAGCGCCAUCCGGUCGAUGGGUGCGCAGAGACCCCUCACGUCGCCCAAUGCACCCAUCUUCUGUCCAUGCUUCGCCAAGAUUCCAACCACAUCUUGCACCGCCAACCCAGCAGCUGCCAUUGCGUCCAAUCACCCACUUCCUUCAACAAGCGCAAGGCAAAUCCGCAAACGACGCACUCUACAGCAGCAGCAGCAGCAACUCACGUAGCGGGAUUGCGAUUGUGUCACCAAUUUGCUAGCCCAGGAAUUAUGCAAGGGCGUGUGAAGAGGAUGACGAGAUGAGGAUCGAAGACAGGUGGUGGGCACGGGCUCUGGGCUGACGACGAUGACGGGGCAGGGUGAAGUCCGCGACGGACGCGAGUUAAAGUGCGGGGUUCCACCUCAUAAUCGCUUGACCCAUAAUCCUGCACUUUUCAGAGACCCUUCUCAAUGCGUUUUUUACAGCUCCACCGUCGCACUGUAAACAGACGUCGCUAGAAUUUUGCUGGGUGACUCUUGUUUUCGGGGUGUGGGUUUUAUUCAUUUCGACAAAAUUCCCUCACGACGGUUUGCUACAUCGACGGCACCUCGCGAACUUCUUAUCCACAACUCACGGCUGCAGAGCUCUCUCUCGUUCUGGGGCGAGAAUCGAAUCGAAUCGAAUCGUAUCUCACCACGAAGCCUCCGGAAAUCGUCUCCUGGGUAUCACUAAAAUUGUAUUUCAGGUGCGACAUGGUUUGCUCUUAAACUAUAUCUCUAGAGAUCAUUUGGUGCGCCCAGUUUUUGCGCUUGCAAAAGUGAAUUGAGUAUAAAAAUUGUUUCAAAUCAGUGCAAGAAUGAUGCUGGUCCCCCUUCAUGUUAAGGAAAUGAAAAGAAUGUGUCCUCAAUUGGGAUUCCGUAUGGAUAACAAAACAUCAUCAUGUACACGAGUCUUCGUGUGCUGCUCUUAAGAAUUUCUAUCAAUUCUUCAAUCGCUACGAAAGCUCUGGCCUACUUCAACAUGCCGAAAGCAAAUGUAAACGGGAGAGUGGGCUAUCAAAAAGCUCGCAAAAAAGAGCUAGACCAUGCCGUGGUCGACAAGCUCCUGCAGACCUUUGUUUAACCUAGCGGCGGCAAUGUGACAUUUCUCCUGCGUCAAUCCACCGUAAGAGAUGCGAAUGAAGCCAGCGCCCCCGCUGGCGCUUCCUGGGAUCACACUCACACCGUGUCUCUUCACGAGCCAUCUGACAACUGCGACGUCGUCAGCAACUUCGUUUGUCGCCUUGUCCUUGGGCAGCUGGGCCCAGAGGUAGAUGGCGCCCUCCCCACCUUUCACAGCGCCCUGUCCCAGAGGUGAGAGUGCCUCCAGCAGGACUUCUCGAUUCUUCCCUAAUCUCUGCACCCUCUCCAGCACCCACUCGGGCCCCACUUGCAGCGCUGCGAGCGCCAAUUUUUGGCCAAUUAUGGAUGCGCAAAUGGGGAUGUUGUCCUGCACUUUCAGCAACUGCGCUCCCAUUCCUACAACCCCAGCCGGAUAUGCGAUCUGCAACAUCAACAAGACAGCCCACAGCCACUUGUUACAAAGUAUUCGGAAACUGGUGAUGCUACCAUAAAAUGCACUGAAAGAAACGAGGCACGGAAAAUCAAGCAUGUUGAGGAAUUUGGAAGAGUUCUUACAUAGCCAACUCUCCAUCCCAUCAUGCCAUGUGCUUUAGAGAAUGAAAAUAUGUUGAUUAUGUGAUCGCCUUCGAUACAUGCGUGUUUACAAUCAUCGUACAUGAAAUAUCUGUUCCCAUGUGCAAUCACCUCAGAAUCAAGACUGGUACCUUAACUUUAGUAAAAAUAAAUCAGUGCUUAAUGCAAUCUAGAGUGAAUACGCUGGAUGUGCCAUGAAGUUCUUAAAAUACACUAGGCACUUGAAGGAAGCUGCUAAAGAUUCAGAAAUGUUGUGUGUCAUCAAGGUCUUACUCAUAUGUAUUGUCGACGAUGAGCCAAGACCCAGCUUCUCGGCACAUCUCUGAUAUCCUCUGCAUUUAACCAGAAGAACGUCAGUCAAUAAUUCAGAGACAAAACGAGAGACUUGUUCAGAUUGACUAAGCAGGAGACAAUUCAGGAGAUGUAACCAACAUGUCGAGUAAGCUUUACAACCUCUAAACUGGAGGUGAUUAGUACCUUUAAGAGUGGUUCAGGAACGUAUGUUCCAGAGGGGUUGCCAGGAUUGACGAUAGACACCACCUUAGGUAUUUUCUUUGGAUCCUUAUUUUGUAGUAAUUUCUCCAACCAAUCUACAACAAUGAGCACAUACUAAUCACAUGAAAGUUGCGUUCAGACAACAGUACUACGAAGGUGUGAGAAUUUCAUAGUUGCGAAGACGAUAAGUUCAUUUUGAUCUGGGACAAUCCCAAGAGUAAGUAGUUCGAAGACAUAACCAACCUGCAUCUGGGUGCAAGUCAGAAUCACUCGGACCCAAUACAAUGUCAGUUACACCUGUCAUUUGAUAGGCCAUGAAGGCAUUGAAAUAAUAGGGCACAAACAAGACCACUCUGUCUCCUGGAUCGCACAGUGUGAGGACCACGUUCACGUAGGCCUGGAACAAACCCAAAUUCACAAUUGGUGAACUUGUAACGAUACAGAAAUUCGGACAAUAACCAAAAUGGAAAGAAAUCACGUCCUACAAAUGCUCAAAUUACUGCAAAAUAGAGAGAUAAAAGUACGAGACAAAGCAUAGAAAGUUUCAAAUUCACUACAAAAUCUACACCAACCCUAUCGAGUAUCGAACAUCAAACCAACAAUAUUAAUAUGAAGAGCAUCAACAGUCAGACGUCACAUGUUCAUUACGCCAAAGAACGCCAGAGAGCACAACGAACUCAGAAGACGAUGCGACAUAUUCUACAAUAAUUGAGCUACUCAGAUGUUACAUUAAACCUUGAUUUAGGGUGGCUAGACAAGAAAUAUUUCCACGCAAAGGAAGCAGAAGUUUACAGGACAUACUAACCUGGUUAGCACCUGCAGUAACCAUAACAGAGGAGCUGUAGAGCUUAUUCUCCCGCUUUAGCUGUAGUCCACAUAAAUAUAAAUCCGGUCAGAGGGAUUGAACUUCAAAAAAAUCAGGUAUAGUGCUGACUAAGAAACGUGUUCAAUCAGUUAAUGCUAUGCACAUCACUCUACACUUCACCGUCUCUAAAGAAUAGUAUCGAAAAAAGUAUUUAAGUAGAAAUUGGACAAUGCCUUCUCUAAAAGAGCCUCUCGAAGUUCUGGUAGGCCCUCGUCUGCACCAUAUUGGCUUGUUGAGGGCUCGUCGACAAUAAUUUUUAUCUUCGACAACGCUUCUUCAGGCGGCUGCCAAUGCACUACACCCUGCCUUCCCUCUUCCCAGGUUAGCAAUUUACGUGUGGGAAUGGUUCACCAUAACUCAAGAAAAAUAGGGGUAUGCCUGAAGAAUAUCAUUUGUAAGCUUCAUUGAAGAAAAAGUAAUACGUCAAUCAACAUAAGAGGCUGGAAUAGGCGCUGCCGCCAAGUUACAGUCAUCAUCAAUAAGGUUAUCUCACAAUCAGCAUUGAACAGCUCUUUGGACGACUCCACAUUAUUUGGGUAUUUAAAUCAUUUCUUUUCAGCAGCCGUCUCAAUCUCCUCGGUUAUCACUACGAAUGAGACGGCCAGAAUGUGCACGGCAGAUCAGAGAGACAGAUGCACCUGUGCCAAUGAUAUAACAUCUGUUGCACCACGUAACAACUCCUGCAUCUGCAAAUACAAAUACAGAAUACAGAUGGAUGAAAAGCGUCGAAAUGAACACACAUCUCUCUGAUGUCAUGUUGACAGGUGUGAAAAUACACCGAGUAAAUGCAGUGGCACGUUAUCAGAUGAAACAAUAAAGACGUGGAGCGUAUCUGCUUUCACGCACGGUUUGAGUUCGACAAACAUGUCCAUGCAUCUAAUAGAACUGAAAGUCGCUCAGCUGCAAUUACAGCCGACACUAACAGCAAGGGCAAGCGACAACGUUUCGCAAACUCUUCUAAACCUCAAAAACCAUUUGAAUUAAAGGUAACCAGUCCCUGCACUGCGAGCUAAGUCAUAUAAAUUUGUACACGCUUACUUUGACACUAUUUACUCCGGCUUACAGCUCUAACACUAUAUCCAAAUAGAUCUCCUGAAAGGACCCAAGACAUUAGAAAUUAGUUGCGUUUGUUUCAAUCGGGCUGCACCUUGCUCUGUCUAAGGGCUAAGGCAAAUACAAAGGCAUUGACUCGCUAAAAAUACUGAUCCAACUACGAGAAAAGGAAGACGUCGCCCUGGUAGCAGUUCCCAUACCUGAGCAGAGUUAUCUAACGCUGAGGGGUAGAAAGAGUUUCUCUAAAACCUGGAACUGAUGUCCGCAUUGCUCGCUAAACAAAACCUUCUACUUGAUCGAUUAGGCCAUCGUCGUAGGCGUUUCAGCAGGUAGAGUAAUCGUACCUGAACCAUGACAGGCGUCUCGGUUCCCAUUACUCGCCGUGCCAAUUUGGAAGCCAUCUGGGCCAUCGCCAUCGCCGGAGAGACCUAGAGGGGGAGAAAACCAAUUCUAGAAGCAGAAACGCUAAACUUCAGUCAGGCAAAAUUCUGACAGUAUCUUGCUUUCAAGACGGAAACAACAGAAGAGAAAUCUAGAGUAUAACCCACAUGGCUGAACCCUCACAACCUUGAUAAAACAAAAAAACGCAUGGAACGGCUAUGGAAGAUGGAUCUAUCAUGGACAGAAUACGGCACGAGAAAGAAAGUGUGUGUGUGUGCGUGUGCGAGAGAGAGAGAGAGAGAGAGAGAGAACCCAGAAUGCUCGAUUUAGUCAGGGGAAGGGGAAAUGAUUGACGUGCACACCUCGAGAUCGUGCUGCUGUUAGAAUCUCUACGUUCAGCAACCACGGACCAGAGGAAACAGGGCAAUGUACAGAAGUUCAAGAUCCGUUUCAGCCGCUGUCUUCACACGUCAGGAAUCGAUUGCUGCAAAUUCACCCCUCGACCUCCCUACUCAACACCAACCCUUUCCUGUGCAGAAAUUCCAAGCUCUAGUGUGAGCGCAUACCCAGCUAACAGCAUCUCACACCAAAAGGAGGAAAUAAAAAUAAAUACAAACAACUACCCUUCUCUCCUCUACCUCUUUCCAAAGAAUGUUUCCAACGAAUUUUCAACGAAAGCGGCAGAUAACGACCCAAUCCGACAUUCGACGCAGAAGUGCACUCGCAACUCACACGAAACAACUGAAAUUUAAUCUACUUUCGGCUAACGUCACCAAAAUCCUCACAAUAUAUCUCUCAAGGCUCUCCGAUCACUCGCAUGGUGCGCCACCGAACCACACUCGACGACGCUGCGACAACACAAACACCCAACCUCCUAGGUGAGGAGAGGAAACCACAGUCCAGACACACAGAGCUUGUCAGGCCCCAGAGAACCAUAAUGAAGGCUGUCUCCAAAACCUCCUGCACAACAGCUCUCUGGCACACACAACUCCAGAGGACACCCGCAACAGAGGGACGUAAAAGCCUUUCUUAGGGGCAUCAAAGAGACAACCGUGGCAGCACACACGGGGAGACAAGAAGCUCAGAUGCCAGCAUACCCUGUCACGUAUCUCCACCUCGCUGGCAACGCUCAUCCGCAUUCACUCACUGUUCCCACACCCACUUGGGCAGAUUGCCACUCACGCCCGCUCCGCAACCAAUUGCAGCUCCCAGGCUCGCCGAAACUUACAUACACACACACACAUACACACACAAUCAUCACACUCAAAGACUUGGGAGGGCGAAGGGGGCCGAGCGGGGAAGAGAGGAAAGGAGGGGCAAGCUCCGGAGAAAGUAAUAAGCGGAAUCUUUCUCCGAUGCGGGGAAACACGCUUGUCGCAAAUGGUAACUCACACCAGUCGCCACCCAUCAUGCUUUUUUGACCUGACCGUGUCUCUCCCAAUUCUUUAAUGCUCGGCACCUCUCUUUCUUUCCUUUCUCUUUCCCUUUCCGUCAUCACAGCAGCUUCAUAUGCCACUGACGCUGUAGAGUUUACUUCAUUCAUUGUGGUGUGUCAUCACCCACAUGCAGACAAGGAGCACGGCCACGGCUGCGUACACAGACGUGGAUGAAGUUCACUGUAACUCCUGUUACAAACUCCCCCCCAGGCAGCUAUCAAAUCACUUCGGCUGCAAUGUCUGUCGGCUAAAAUUGUAUUGGGUUUCUCUUAGAUUGGGAUAGGAGGAAGUUGUAGUUAUUGUUGUUGUUGUUGUUGAUGAUCCCGCCAGCGAUGUGUACGAAAGUGCCGUUGGCUAAGGAUUCGGCCCCUGGAGGUGUCGAUGUGGUGGAAAAAGGGGGGGGGCAGUUUGUGCUGGCUGACGUCAAAAUAGCAUUCAUAUAUGCUUCGACGUUCCUUCGGAUAGAUCAAUUGCGGUGGAAGUGAUUGCGGAAUCCAAUUAUUUUAGCAGUGUCGGGAGACCCGGUCUGACGAAGGUUGAGAGGUGGCGUGCCGGUCAUGGUCACGGCUUUUGUAUAAAGCCACUCGUCGAGGAAAGCAUGCCCUUUUGAACAUCGUCGGCUGCUUUGGGACCACACUGUUAUUUUCAAACGUGACCUGAUCUGGUGCUCUCAGGGUCUUCGUCGCAGCAUCAUCCUGCGCUGGUUGUGCCAUCCUCUAUACUUCGUUCCAGAGACAACGUUAACUUUUCGGAAACAACGCGGGUAGCAUAACUUUGAUACUUAUCUUGCCCGAGGGAAUAUAGGACCGUUGCUCCAGGAUCCUCGAGUCUGUCAAGAGAAAUCAUUCUGUUGCAGCAUCAGAUCAAGAUGACUAAGCUGUCGGCUGUAUAGAUUUGUGGCAACAAAUGUUACUUCUCAACAUCACCCGUCCUGUGUGAGUUGAUCCCAGACAUGGAGCGAAUGCUUGGAGGUUCCGAGUAGAAAACAUUUGAGAACGCAUUGCGUACAAAGGGUUUUUAAAUAUGAGACUAUUCUACACCAUUUCGGAACUAGGUUCUCUGCUGCAGCAAUCAAUGGAUGAAUGAAGCCUGAAUGGAAUAUGUGAUGCAGCAGACUUCAGAAGACUUGAACACAACUGCAUCGUUAUGAAAGAGAAAAGGCUCCCUUUCUCAAAGCGAAUCCAGACAGAUGGAACGAAUGAAACUUUACUACAUAGGUCUCGUGCGAAACUUUGUCUUCAUGUAUCAGAAAUAAAAAUGAAAACUGAUCAGCAUCAGAUGCUUCACUCCUACGAAUGGCAUUCAGAGUUCAAACAGAAUGUCAGUUCGCAGAACCAAGAUUCAUAAUACUUGGGAAAUUGAAAUAGAGAGACUCACAAAUCAAAAACGGAAAUGCCGUUGGUGUGGAGUAAAACCACAUGCUUCAAAAACAGCUCCCGGGUAUCCAACAUUCCAAACCGAUAGAAAAUGCUUAGUCCCGGCUUAGUGCAGGUUUGCUUUCGACCACAAAAAUAAAUUAUGUUAAAUUAAAUUAAAUUAAAAACUGACACACUGCGGGAUGACAAGUAACGUAUUCAUGAAAUAGAAAGAAAAACCUCAAACGAAAAAGAAUGUCAUUGAAAAGUCGAAUAAAGGCGUACUAGAGCAAACAACAUAUGUGGACACAUUUCGAACAAACGAGGGCAGCACAAACCUUACAGACCAAACGGAAAUCAUACGACGAAUUGCACCAAGAAGUCCCAGAACGCGCGCUCCAAUAUACUAAUCAGCCGAGAAAAUUUCAGAGAGUAUAUGAUCGAUUACCGUGAUCGACCAACAAAGUACCAUCGCGGACGUGACUUUAGCAGUCAAUGUAAAGUUAAAGCAACUGCUCCCGGCAGUGAACAAGUGGAAGUCCAGUGCUAAGGAAAACCCCACCAUGUCUGAUCACCGUGGAUUGGACGAGGCAAACAACGCAUGCGAAACACUGAAGCAUUGACCACCCUCAUUUUCUCAUGCAAGGCUUUCCAAGAGACUGAAAAUUCACAUCCCACUUACAAAGCUAGCUACAGCGCUAACCCCACCUCCACCGUUCAUUCUCAAAAGCUACGAGAGAUGCUAACAAUGAUGUCGCAUAAGUUCUCCAUCUUUCCAGAACGCCCAAGAGGGAUCCUCCGCCGCAUCCUCAUCACCCAAGCGACAAGGAACCAUGGCGAGACGGUGGUCACUCAUUCAUCACGGGCUUGUUCUCGUUGGCCUUGGGCGCCCGCUGUUGGUUGCCCGGCUGCUGGACCUCCGGCUUGCGCUUGUCCCCGGCGCCCUUCUGGCUCAAAAAGGACCGGAACAGCGCGGAGUUCACGUCAUAUAUCAUAUUUCCACAAAAGCUCCUUCGAAUUCCGACUAGACUACGGGUCCAAGCGAGCCGUCGGUGGCUCCCCAGGCGCACAACGAUUGUCAGCAAGCACACAAGCAAAGGAAGGGAUACAACCACGACGAGGGAGAAGACGUAAAAGAUGAAGAAAGCAAAGCUAUGAGCUCCACCAUCACCACCAGGAGCAGGGUUAGGGUUUCGCCUUAACCACGCUGGUGUCGAAACCGCGCGGCAAAGCAUGCCGCCUCGCAGGCUCCCAACGUUAUGAACCCCGCGUGGAACCGAGGAAAGAAAUAGCGCGAUGUGUUGGUUUUCUGUUCACACUGCAGUGCUUGUGGGAUUCAAACUACCGAACAGAUAAUCAAGAUUUGUGAACAAGUACAAGGAAAUGUUUUAGUAGCAACAACAUUGCGCAUGUUGAAAGACUAAAACAUUAAGUUUUAAAUGAAUAAAUAAAUCCACCUGGUAGCGCUUCCACAUGGACUCUAGAUUAAUGACAUCAUCAACGUUACAGUAAUUUAUUUUUGUUAUUUUGUAACAUGUUUCAUCAAAUACAUUUGGCAAUUAAAGUAGAAGUAAGCCGUAGUUUGGUUGAUUUGAAGAUGAACCAGACAGUACUUUAGGUUUGUUCUUUUGAGUAAGAACUGUUCUUGCCAACGUGUUCUUCACAUCCACAAACAGAGUUAUCAUUGAAUUUGUCUCUACUUUACUGCACAGAGCUUUUGGGUAAGGCUACACGGGUAUACUUGAUAAUUGCAAGAGGAUUUUCGCUUUAAAAGGCUACCAAGAGACGCAUGUAGUUUCACAUAUGUACACCGCCACAAACCCUAUUGAGGAGGUGCAGCAUCAUAAUAAUCUUUCCCAGUGUAAAAAUUUAUGCACUCAAAGAAGCUCUUGCCUUGAAAAUCUAAUACAUAAUGGCAUUUUCUUUACUCUUCAGAAGGGUCCAGCCAAUGAUGGCGACCAUGGGGUUUGACGAGGUUGGUAGUUGGUAUUCAUUGCUUUACAGACAGUUGACAGAUGACAUACCAACUCCAUCCACCCAAGAGAAAAAACCUGCCCCUUCCAGAAGAGAAUGUAACGUUGAACACUACUAGGGAACCAAGAAAGCAAACCAAAAACUAAACAACAGUGCAUAAAGGAAUGUAGACCCACAAACAAACAAACAAUAGUGUAAUGUAAUCAUAAUAGAAUGUGAUCAAUCUAUAAACCUAGAGAAGUAAACUUGAGGUUAAGGAACAAGAGAGAACAAAGGUAAACGAAGAUAUUUUUAAGAAAAGCAGAUUAGAACACCAAAAUGCCAGAGAUGACUGAAGGUAAGACGAUUAGCAUUUAAUCGUAUGUACAUUCUACGUAGUUCAACAAAGCCACAGUCGGCAAGAUGCACUUCGUGACCACAGUGAUGCAACGUUGUUCUACAAUUCCAUCACACGACUCAAAAAGUUAGCAUCUUCACUGAUAACUUUAACGAAGAUUAAAAGAACAUGCGUGAAACGGGGCCCUUUGACAGACCAAGCCGAACCUCCAUGCUUUCAUGCAUAUCCUGAGGAACGAACGUAUCCGACUCCUUCGGAUCUGAACACAACACGAAGUUUCAGUUUGGAAACAUGGACAGAGAACUCACCAGACGGUGAGUGAUGCCACUUCUUGCACAACACUUGAAGGAUUCAACAAUGUUUGAUAAAUCUGAAAGAUUUGAUCAUUUAAAUUUAAGAAAAUCAGGCUGUAAAAGGCACCUCACAUGUUGCGAUUUCCAAAAAUGAAAAAAGUGAAAAGAACUUGCCAUUCAAGAAGUCUUCAAAUCCAAAUUCGUCUAAUUCUCCAGUCAAUGACUCAAGACCAAGCAUGGAUGAAGGAAUAAGGCCAGUUGGGCGCUGGAAUCUGUGCAAGCACGCGAUACGUACAGUUGAUAAGAAGUUGGAAUUUGAAGAUGUAGCAAACUGUUCACAUAGUUUAACUAUAUAAGAAGUUUGAGAAGUCAAGAAGCGUUAAAUUAAGAAAAAUUAUAAUUGAAAACUUGACCAGAACAAAUCUAAGGAUAAUGCACUAUUAAGGGAACUUGGUGUUCAACGCUAUGGAGAACUUUGAGAAUGAUAUCCAGUUGAGUUUCUUGCCGUGUCAGAAUUUGACGUUCAAUGUCCAUUUUCAUAGGGAAAGCUGAGCCAUAAGCCCUCUCAAGCAAGGUGCGUUUCGUCUGCGCCUGCAUGCUUUUGGACUUCACAAAAUACAGCCCACAUAGGGUCCAGUCAAAAUUUCUGAACUCUACACCUACAAAGUAACCAGCUGCAACUUCAACGGCUCCAGCACUGCAAAAAAUUGAUCAAGGGACUUGGCAGACCUAUUACAAGCUUCGAAUUAUGUGGUUGGCAACCAGAUAUGAAAAAUAAAUAAUAGACAGUGAUUUAAUUUCUUCAACUGUGUCUGUGCGAGGCGAAACCCUGGAUUCUGACUAUACUCCAUCACCAUAACUUCAACCAGAGGGGGGCAUACAAUGCAGAAAAAUCAGCUCACCAGAGCUUCUCCUCCCGGAAAUUUCAAACGAUGCUCAGAAAACAACUCACGACAUUUUGGUAAAAGAGAAGUAUAAAAAAAAACAAAAAAAAACAAAACAAAGCUCCCGAUCAGCCCAUCUGAUGUGGUCAGUCACACAAUUUCAUCCCAACUAAACUAAGACAAAAUCCUAACUCGGGUAUCGAUAUCUUACAGUUCGUUGAAUGAUCUCCACGGGAUGAACGGGCAACAUAUCGUUCUUAAACGCAGGCAAACCGUGUCGCAGCGAGUCAUGCGAUCCGAGCACAUCGUGUGGCAGCUGAAUUCCGUCCUGAAACCACCAACAACGAAUAAUUGGAUCCAAAUCAACAUAAUACUUUACCGAGGCCCCCACAGCAUCCGAAAGAAGACCUCGAAGACGAGUAAACUCGGCCAAGCAUUCACUCAUUCAUUCAUCAACCUACACAGCAAAAGCUCCUUCAACGCCUUCAACUCCUCCAACUCAAUAGAAAAAGAAAAAAACUCCUAAAAACAAUCCAGAAAAAUCCAUUUUUCUUUUUUUUAUUGAAACGCGGGACCAACACACCAUGUUCGCAAAAUCGAGGCAAGGAACCGACACCAACGCUGCGAAAUCAAUAAAGACGUCCAGCAAGAGAGCAAACUCGGAGGAAACCAAAACAAAAUUUGAUAGAAUGUCUCCAAAGGGUCUAAACUAGGGUUUGAACAAAAAAAAAAACACAUCUGGACCCCAAGACCGUGGAUGGGUGCCCUCGACCGUGGUACCAUCCACGGUAUCUUUCCUUGGGUUUAGGUGCCCCAUGAUUUAUUGGGAGCUUCAUUGCGAACAUUAUUUAUUUAUUUAUUUUCUGUUUAUUUUCCCACCGAAGUAUGUGAUGCAAUGGGUUGUUAACACAUCAGUUGCCUAACCAAAACCAGGAUUUUUUUAAUCAUGUUUUCGUUUGAUGUGAGAAUUCAGACUUGUUUACAAUUCUACAAAGUGAGAAAAUCGAAAUAAAUUAUGAAAUUGUUGUAGAACGUGAGAUCGUUGAGGCUUCAAAAGUUUGCGUCUGGGUCUUUUGAUUUGAUAGUCGUGUUUUACAUGUGCUGAGUUUAGGGGUUGCAAUAUUGCAAAAUAUUAAUGCACAUAGGACCAGCAUAUGUAACAAUUAAAUUAUGUAGCUCUAUCUCAGAAUGUUUAACAUUGGUAUAAAAACAAUCAAAUAUACCACAUCUGGUUGUUUCAAAAACUCAGUGUGUGGAUUUGAGUGUUUUCUAAUUUAUACUAUUUUAUCUUCAUGAUAACAAAGUAUCUCCUUUCGUGAUAUGGGAUACUCUCCAGUUGUGGUAAUCGCUGGAAUUUAACGUUGUUGUUUUAACUUCUUGAUAGCGAUAAUACCAAAUCAAAACGUAACAGGAAUUGGUGGGCUAGAUUCACACAGAUAACCACAUUACACAUCUGUAUAAAUUAUCCCAUAAGUAUAUUGAUUUGGCAGAUAAAUUAUUUAAAUGUGGUCAUCAGAAGUACAGCGUAUUUUACGUUUGCAUCAUUACGGUAUAACAACAAACCCAAAAAUGGAGUAUACACACAAUAUGUACUGUACAGUGCAGCACAUGACUACCGGUGUGAAAGUUGAUAAUGCUAAGCAAAGCACAGUGUUAGAGCGACGAGAUAGUCAUAAUAGAUAUAUGCUAAUAGUAAUAGAACAGGAAAUUCAUGCAGAAACACAAGCUGAGGGUAGAUAGUUACAUAAGAUGUAGGUAGACCCACACGCACAACUAUCCAACACCUCAUCAUAAAGCGAUGCAAAAAGAAAUAAUGGAUGUUUAUUUGCAAAAGCAUCCAUAAUGGUCAUUUGCAAAAGCAGUCAAAACUGCAUGAUGUGAAGCUUAUAUAAGAACUUGUUUGCUAACCUAAAUAACUAAGAAUCACUUGCGAUGAGGAAAACUCUCCAGGGUACUUCAAAUUCCGUUCUAACUUCAAAAUCUCUCACCUACAAUAGCUACAAUUUACCUGCUAUAGGCUACGCCAGUUUUCUGCAGAGCCACCUCUUUCUUGUCACCCUACUAAAUAAAGGGGUACCAAAAAAUUUACUAAUCACUCCCUACCUAGCAUAUUAGACAACUGUUUCUCCAUCAACGUUUGAUAAAAAUGUCUCUGGCUCUAAAGAUUUCCCCGGCGAGAGCUAACCUUGUUAGGUACUUGUCAAUAUGCGUCGACCAUUAUCCCUCAGGGAGCACUGAUUUGAAGGGGAAAAAAAAACAAAAAAAAAAACAAACAAACAAAAAAUCUGGUUACUCGAUAAGCACUAUAAGAGGGAAGUUGCAACAAGACGGUUGGCAUCAUGACUAGGGGAAAGUAUCGUAGGACUAAAGAAAUUCCUUGUCACUUUUCUUGCAGCUUUCUACUAUCGAGCUUGUUAAAAUUAUGAUCAAUAGCACACCUAAUUGCUCGUAGUAAAUGCGUGCGCAACAGCACUGAUCGAGUCAUAAAUCGCUUCCCAAGCUAACUUCACGGAGAAGUAAUGGUCCGCAAGGAGCAACCCUCGGCAUUAAAAUCAUACAAAGCUUUCGUACCCAGCUACUCUGGUUUAAACCACCGAAAAAAUCUUGUAAAGGCCUGGCGUCAUCCACUGCCUUCAGCAGCGGCUGUCUCGGGCUCUGAAGAUUCUUCUCCAGCAAACUCUUCAAUAAGUUGUCGUUGCCUCUGUGUGAUAUUCCUGUUACAGACCCAGCCAACCCUCCACGUCAGCUUUAGUUAUGAGCGGAAAGUAAACAGAUAGCCGGACGACAGCGAAGGAUUAUCAAUUCACAUUCAGAGUUGUAGAACAUACGUAGGAAUAGUCACGUUAAUCAGCACGUACUGAUCACCAUGGUGCCUCGAAUUCAAAACUUUUACGCCUGUUCAAAAGAAGCAAUCCGUUAGUAGCAGAAAAAUA